This 88758-nucleotide long non-coding RNA is filed under the name Gossypium barbadense (sea-island cotton). RNAcentral's name for it is "long non-coding RNA (GBAR_LNC005915)". Lineage: Eukaryota; Viridiplantae; Streptophyta; Magnoliopsida; Malvales; Malvaceae. The record is from RNAcentral.
AACUUGAUACUCAAUCUCUUUUCUCUUCAAAUCUGCAUACGACUUUUGUCUGUCUGAGGCUGCUUUCAAGCAAUCUCUAAUGAUUUUUACUUUCUCUUCUGUUUCCUUAACUAGAUCAACCCCGUAAAUCUGAUUUUCCUUAAGCUCUGUCCAAUACAAAGGUGUGCGACAUUUACGUCCACACAAAGCUUCAUAAUGUACCAUCUUUAAACUCGACUGAUAACUAUUACUGUAGGCAAACUCUACUAAUGGUAAAUAUUUUUCCCAACUGCCUUGAAAUUACAGUACACAGCAUCUAAGCAUAUCUUCAAGUACCUGAAUAACUCUCUCUGACUGACCGUCGGUUUGAGGAUGGAAAGCUGUACUAAAACUCAACUUAGUGCCCAAAGCCUUCUAUAAUUUCUUUCAAAACCGUGAAGUAAAUCUUGGAUCUCUGUCUGAAAUGAUCGAUAACGGUACCCCGUGUAGUCUGACUAUCUCUGAAAUAUACAACUCGGCCAACUUGUCAAGUGAAUAAUCCAUACGAACUGGGAUAAAAUGAGCUGACUUCGUUAACUUAUCAAUCACAACCCAUAUUGCAUCUUUCUUUCUUGGUGUCAAUGGCAAUCCUGUCACAAAAUCCAUAGUAACUUGAUCCCAUUUCCACUCAGGGACUAACACAGGCUGCAAUAAACCUGAAGGUACCUGAUGUUCGGCCUUUACCUGCUGACAGAUGAAGCAUCUAGAAACAAACUCUGAAAUGUCCCUUUUCAUUCCUACCCACCAGUACAUUUUCUUCAAAUCAUUAUACAUCUUUGUACUACCUGGAUGAAUAGACAAAGAACUACUAUGUGCUUCCUGUAAGAUCUUUCGAAUAAGCUCAUCUACGCAUAACCUACUCUGAACAUCAAACAACCGUCAGAACUGAUCUGAAAAUCUGACUCUAUAUCCGACUCACACUGAUCUCUUUUGGCUAACAACUCACUAUCAUUUUUCUGAGCUUCACAAAUUUCUUCAAGAAACAUCGGUUUAACUCUCAACUCAGCUAAGAUAAAACCAUCAUCUAAUAAGGCUAGACUAGUAUUCAAAGCUCUUAAUGCUAAUAAAGAUUUCCUACUCAAAGCAUCAGCAACAACGUUUGCCUUACCUGGGUGAUAAUCGAUCACUAGCUCAUAAUCUUUAAUCAACUUUAACCAAUUUCUUUGCCUCAAAUUCAAAUCUUUUUGAGUCAUCAAAUAUUUCAAACUUUUGUGAUCAGUGAAUAUAUGGCACUUCUCACCGUACAAAUGAUGUCUCCAAAUCCUCAACGCAAAAAUAAUGGCAGCUAGCUCUAAAUCAUGUGUCAAAUAGUUCUUCUCAUGUGGCUUUAACUGUCUAGAGGCAUAAGUAAUUACCUUCCCUUCCUGCAUAAGUACACAACCAAGUCCAUUCAUGGACGCAUCACUGUAAAUCACAAAUUCCUUACCUGGUUCUGGUUGUACUAAAACAGAAGCUUUAGUCAACAAUGCUUUUAACUUGUCAAAACUCUAUUGACACUUCUCAGUCCAUUCAAACUUGACAUCCUUUCGCAGCAAUCUUGUCAGCGGGGUAGCUAUCAUGGAAAAUCCCUCUACAAAUCGUCUAUAAUAUCCGGCAAGACCAAGAAAACUUCUAACUUCUGAUACAUUUCUAGGAGGCUUCCAAUCAACAAUGGCUAAAAUCUUACUCGGAUCGACCUUAAUACCUUCACUUGAGACAAUAUGUCCAAGAAAACCAACUUCUCGUAACCAGAACUCACUUUGCUGAACUUGGCAUAUAACUGAUUAUCUUUCAGAAUCUAUAAAACUGUUCUCAAAUGCUCUGCAUGCUCAGUCUCAUCAUGAGAAUAAAUCAAGAUAUCAUGAAUGAACACAACUACAAACUUAUCCAAGUACGGUCUGAAAAUUCGGUUCAUUAAGUCCAUGAAAAUGGCAGGAGCAUUAGUCAAGUCAAAUGGCAUCAUAAGGAACUCAUAAUGACCAUACCUAGUCCGGAAAGUAGUCUUCAAGACAUCUGACUCUUUAACUCGCAACUGAUAGUAUCCGGAUCUCAAAUCUAUCUUGGAAAACACAGUAGCUCCCUUCAAUUGAUCAAACAAAUCAUCAAUUCUAGGCAAUGGAUACUUGUUCUUUGCUGUUACUUUGUUAAGUUGCCGAUAAUCUAUGCACAAUCUCAUCGAUCCGUCUUUUUUUUUCACAAAUAGCACUGGUGCACCCCAUGGUGAACUACUGGGUUUUACAAAGCCUUUAUCUGUUAAUUCCUGCAACUGAGCUUUCAAUUCUUUCAAUUCCAACGGAGCCAUUCUAUAAGGAGCAAUAGAAAUGGGUGUGGUACCUGGAAUCAACUCAAUACCAAACUCAACUUCUCUAACAAGAGGCAAACCUGGUAGUUCUUCCGGAAACACAUCGGGAAACUCACAUACCACAGGCACUGAUUCAAUUUUCAAUUCUGGAUCUUUAGUGUUUAACACAAAAGCAAGAUAAGCUUCAUACCCUUUUCUCAAACAUUUCUGAACAGACAUAACAGAAAUUAUGGGAAAUAAACUAUCUGACUCUUCUGAAUUAACCCGAAGAAUUUCACCAUUUUCACACUUCAACUCAAUGAAUUUCUUUCCACAAUUCACUAUCACAUCAUGUGUAGUCAACCAAUCCAUACCAAGAAUCACAUCAAACUCAUCAAAUGGCAAUAGCAUGAGAUCAGCCGGAAAACAGUAGCCUCUAAUCAUUAAAGGAAAAUUUCUACAUACUUUAUCUACUAAUACAUGCUUGCCUAAUGGAUUCGAUACUUUAAUCACAAAUUCUAUAGAUUCUAUAGGCAUACUUAUACUAGACAUCAAUUUCUUGCAAACAGAUGAAUGAGUUGAACCCGGAUCAAUCAAAGCAAUGACAUUAAUAUCAUAUAGAAAAAAUAUACCCUAAUCAUAUCGGGGAAUGGUGCCUCUUCGCGUGCACGAAUAGCAUAAGUCCUUGCAGGGGCUCUAACAUCUGGUCUCACAGCCGAAUCUCUUGAGGUACCUCUGUUACUUGCUCCUACUCCCGGUUGCCUCGGUGAUCUGCCUCUAGUAGGAGUAUUUCUGGAUCUAGCAUUCUGUGUUAUCUCUCGAUUAGCCACCUCUGGACAUUCUCGUACAAAAUGAUCUGGAGCACCGCAUUUAUAACAAACAUUUUCGCCUGCCCGACAAGGACCAUAAUGAAGUCUACCACACCGUGAACGCCCUGAUCUACCCUGUCCAACAUUAUCUACACUCGCAGUCGAGGUGUUCAGAGCCUUCAAAUCCUUAAAUCUGCUGCCUCUAUUCUGACUAGAAUACCUUGCUGAGAAACUAGAUCUAGUAGAAAACUCCUUUGGCAUUUUGGAUGUAGCCUGGAAUGACCUGCUCAUCUGUCUCUUCUUUGUAUCUUAUGUCUCUGUCUCAACUUUGCCUUUUGUUUUUAACAGCUCCUCUGCCUUACAGGCUCUCUCAACUAAAAUAACAAACUCUUUUAUUUCUAGGACACCCACUGACAGUCGGAUAUUAUCAUUUAACCCAUCCUCAAACCUUUUACACAUAAUAGCCUCUGUGGACACACAUUCUCGAGCAUAUUUACUAAGCCUGACAAAUUCGCACUCAUAAUCGGUCACUGUCAUAUGACCUUGUUUCAAUUCCAGGAAUUUCUCUCUCUUCUGGUCAAUAAACCUCUGACUAAUGUACUUUUUACGAAAUUCCUCCUGAAAUAAAUCACAAGUGACCCUCUCCUUUGGUACAACUGAUACAAGUGUCUUCCACCAGUAGUAGGCUGAGUCUCUAAGAAGUGAUACUACACAUUUCAUACAUUCCUCGGGUGUACAAGAUAAUUCGUCAAAGACUCUGAUAGUAUUUUCUAACCAAAAUUCUGCUCUUUCUGCAUCAUUAUCUUUUGUUGCUCGGAACCCUUCUGCCCCUUGUUUCCUGAUUCUAUCAACUGGUGGCUUUUCUCUUAUCACUGUACCUGUGACUGGGGGAGCUUGAGCUACAUGGGUAGCCUGAGAAUCAUGAGGGGGUGGAGGUCUAACUGUCGGAUUCGUACGAACGAACUCGGCAAACAAAUCAUUCAAAGCUUGGAAGAGAGCUUCUCGAGUCACUCCUCCCUGAUUAACUGUUACUGGCCUAUUCUUAGAUGGCGUUGCCCCUUCCGCGGGAGCAGGCGCAUUACUUUCUACAUCAUCAUCACCAGCUAGCUCGGGAUCCAUUACUAUAAAACAAAAUAUCUAAAAAUCGUUAGGAGUCGUCACACUAUCAAAAUACAGGUAUGGCAUGUAUAGCUAGACUUUUACUCACACUAACUGUUCCGAGAAUCGACUAAACCUGCUCUGAUACCAAUAAAUGUAACACCCCCACGCCCGAAACCGUCACCGGAGUCAAGCUUGAGGUGUUACUAAACUUAUCUUACCUUUUAAACAUCUCUAAACCACUUAUUUUAAUUUUCGGAAUAAACUAUUUUUCUGCGUCAUGGUUGCUUAAAAAUUUAUUUCUCGAGUUUCAAAACUCGAAAUUAAGAUCCAUAAAUUUUUCCUGAAACUAGACUCAUAUAUCUAUCUACUAAUUUUUUUCUAGAAUUUUUGACUUAGAUAAUUAGUACAGUUUAUUAGUUAAAGUUACCCCUGUUUCAGAGUUCGAAUCAUAUGACUAUACUGUUUAUUUCUAUUAAAACUAGAUUCAAUAAGGAUUCUAACCAUAUAAAGUACACCACCUAAUUAUUUUUGUAAAAUUUAGGGUGAAUUUCUAAAGUUGGAACAGGGGAUCCAGAAAUCGCUCUGGCCCUAUUUCACCAAAACUCAGAUACCUUAUAAAAUACAAAACCUUUACCUAUUUUUCUUAUUCCAUAUGAAAAUAGACACUACGAGCUUUAAUUUCAUAUAUUAUUCACCAUCAACCCAUGUCUCUACAAUUUCUUGUGAUUUUUCAAAAUCACGUUAUUUCUGAUACUUGAAUCUGUUUUUAAGUUACUUUCACAUUUUUCUUAGUUUUCAUGUGAUAGUUACUACUUAAUCAUACAUACUAUUAAACAUGUAUAUCAUCAGCCAUUCUAUUAGUUAAUCACUAGCAAGUAUUAACACAUCAUUCAUUGAUUAUAUCAUAUCAAAAGAACCCAAAUUCCUAUACAUGCCAUACACAAAACGAAACGUCUAACUAUACCAAUGUGAUUUCUUUGAUAGUGUGAUCGGUUUCCGACGUUUCCUUCGAUCCCCGAGUGGCUUGAUAAAAACUAUAAGAAAAAGAAAAUAAAGAGUGUAAGCACUAGGCUUAGUAAGCUUACAAGCAAAUAAAUUUCAACAUUCAACAUAAUGAAUAAAUAUACAUAAUGUCACCUAGCUUCAUAAACUUUCUUUACAUUCUCAUUUUCUACCUCCUUCUUUACUCACUUACCUUCUUUCUUACCUGACCUUUCACUAUUCAUAAAUAUAAUUUACCUUCCCUUUUUGCUGAUAAUUCACUGUAAUUUAACGUAUACAAUGACCCGUUGAACCAUUCAGAAUACUAAAGAUACUAGGGUCGUUCCUGUCUAUCAAUAUCCUACCAAUGCCAUGUCUUCGACAUGGACUUACAUGAAUUAUUCCUGUCUCCAAUGCCAUAUAUAUAUCUGAUAUGGGCUUACAUGGCUCAUUCUUGUCUCCAAAGCCAUAUAUCUGAUAUGGACUUACAUGGCUCACUUCUGUCCUGUCCUGUCCUGUCAACCCCAAUAUCCUAACAUUCCUAAGGUUCAAACGGGGCUUCCUAAUGCUUUUUCUCUGUCACUUCGCCUUUAAUUCGACUUUAAAUAUUCAAAGAAAAUAAGUAUAUAAAUGCUGGAAAUUGACAAUAAUAAUGUAAAAUAAAAGAAUAUUGCAUUUAUUUACUGUAAACUUACCUCGAUACAAAAUGUGACUAAACUUUACAAUUUAGUCCUUUACUUUUUCUUUUCCCCGAUCUACUCCCGAAUUUCGUUCUUCUUGAUUAUGGAGCUUGAAAAUUGAAGAAACGCUAGCUAUGGAGAGAGCAUAAAUUCGGCAGCAACUAAAGAAGAUGAUAACAAAUUUUGUGUUAUUUUUCCCUUUUUAAUUCGUUUAAUAUCUAAAUGACCAAAUUGCCCCUCCUUACUAAACUUUAAAAAAAUUUCCUUCCAUAUCAUAAUUUUUGUCCAUGAACUUAAAAUUGGUCAAAUUAUUAUUUAAACCCUCCUAAUUAAUAUUCCAAAGCAAUUUCAUACUAAAAACUUCUAGAAUGCAAGUUUUGCAAAUUAUUCAAUUUAGUCCCUAACCUUAACUUAAGCACUUUAUGCAUAGAAUUUCUUCACGAAAUUUUCACACAAUCAUGCAAUCAUAUCAUGAACCUCAAAAUAAUAAUAAAAUAAAUUUUUAUACCUCGGAUUUGUGGUUUCGCAACCACUAUUCCGUUUAGGCCUUAUUUCGGGAUGUUACACGUUCUCAGAAAUAUUUCUAUGGCUAUUGAUCUUCUGAAGAAAUUCUUGUUAUAUGGGAAUGUCUUUUAAUUCUGGUGUUGGAUGAAAGCAUUGGUAGUCUGACUGGGUUAUAAUUUAUAUUGCUCUAUUUCAUCGGGUAUUCUAUUUCAUUUCGACUGAUAAGAAUUGAUGAGAGAAUACGUAUGAUAUUAUGAUUCUGUUUCUUCUACUUGAUGUUUCAUGUGAUAUAUAUGUAUGAGAAGAUAUAUUGUUCUUGUUAUACUUGAUUCCAGUGGGAUUAAAUGAUGUUUUCUUUUGGACUUUCUUUCUUUGAAGAAUUAUCGGGGUAUUCUGUAUUUUCUCUAUGAGUUUGGUUUCCGAUUCUCCGGCAUAGUAUCGUAUCUUGGGUUUCUUUAUCCUGGAUCUCUUUAUUCUGGAUUUCUUUAUUCUGGGUUUCUCUAUCUUGGAUUUCUUUAUUCGGUUUUCUUGUUAUCUUUGUUCCAUAAUUUGUCAAUUAUGACUCAUGUUCGAAGUACGUUCUUCAGCUCGUGAUAAUCAUGUCAAAUAUGACUAUACUUCUAAUUUGGUCUUGGUAAUAUGGUGAUUUUAGUAUUGGGAUUUUUUUCUAAUUUCUGUGUAAGGAUUUGACAUCAGUAAAGGCAUAGGUGAUAAAAGCGCAAGUUUCAGUCGGUAUGGUGAAUUAUUUAUUUGAAAGAUUUCAUGUGACAAUUAUGUCAAGAUUAUUUUUCUCGAGUUUGAUAAUAGAAUUUCAUUUUUGUACUGAUAAAAGAGUAAAUAGUCUGAACAAGAAGUGUAUAGUUAUUAGAAAGAGUUGGAUAUUAGUUAAAGUCACUAUGAAUGAUAAGGUUUUCGUCUUGUGAAAGCUGAAAAGUUUAUUACAUGUUGACAGAGUUCGGAUAGAUGAAAAUAUUGGUAACCGAAGGGGGUAGAGUUGUAAUGCCCCAAUUUUUGGGAAUUCUGUGAAUGUUGGCAUAGGUUUAAUUAUGUUAGUGGGCCUCUAGAAGGCCCAAGCUUAAGAUAGAACCCGACAAUUUUAGUUAAUUUUUUGUUCCAUAAGAAAAAGGGGGUGAAAUUAUGAAAUAGGACCUAUGUGAAAAUGUUUGAAAAUGCUAUAGGCUAAUUUGUAGUGGCCAAAUAAAUAGGAGUGCAAAAUAGGAGGAUUUGCAUGUCAAACCUCCCAUUUUACAUGAAGUGGCUGGCCAUCAUGUUGUUGAAGACAAUAUGUGCAUUUGAUAUCCAUAAUUUAUGGUACAAAUUGAUAAAAAAUUGAUAAUGGGUUAGGUAAAUGUUCCAUGAUGGGCAUUUCAUGUCUUUUGCAUUAAAGAAUUAAAUGGAUGAAAUAUGAAAUUUUAUUAAAAGAAAAAGGGGUGAAAAGAACAAAGUUUUGUCCAUCUUUGUUCAUCAUAGCCGAAAGUUAGAGAAGAGAAAGGAGAGGAGAAAGCUCUUGAAUGUUCGGCCACUUGGGGAAGAAAAUUGAAGGUAAGUUCAUGGUAAUUUGUUUCUAUCUUGAUGUUCAUGAGUUCUUCUUAAUUCUACCUUAACUUUUGAAGCAUAUUUUGGUUUUUGGGUGUGUUGUGAGCAUUUGGUCAUGAAUUAAAAUGAAAGAAAUGGUUUUUGUUUCAUGUUCUUUUGAUGAAAAAUGGAAGAUAGGUGAAGUUGAGCCAAAGAAAUGAGCAUGCAUGUGCCUUAGAUGCUAAAGGGAAAAAUUGGCUAACAUGUUGUGCUUUAAAAUGAUGAAAUGGAGAUUAUACUUAAGUAAAUUCAUAGAUAUGUGAUGAUUGAUUGGUGAUAUACAUGUUUAAAUAACAUGCAUGCAAGAUAGGUGUGUGAAAGAGUGAUUUGGUAAUAAAUCUGCUUGGGAUAGCAGCAGUAAUGUGACUUUGGAAAAUUACCAUAAAUUGUGGGAGAUGAAUUAGAAGCUGAAUAACUUAUGUAAUUAAAGCUUAAUGAGUCUAGUUUCAAAUGAAAUAAACGAGAACAUAUUUUGUAUUCUGUACAAUGAAAAAUUUGAGUCGUAAUGAAGAGUGAUCAGAUUAGUCAAACAGUGAAACAUGGGAAUCUUUGAGAAAAAUCUGGUAUUGAUUGGCUAGACCAAAAAUUUUGAAAAUUUUAUUGAUAGAAGAUAUAUGAGUCUAUUUUCAGGGAAAAUUAACGGCACUUGAUUUGGAGUUUCGUAGCUCUAGUUAUAAAUGAUUUAGUGACUAUUGCUCAGGAAGACAGCUUGCAGUGAAAUUAUGAUUAUGUGGUAAACAUUGACAAAAAUUUGUUAAUGAGUUGCUUAUUGAUUUCUUAUAAGCUUACUAAGAUCUGUAGGUGUGGUUGGUCGAAUAUUGUAAGGGGUUAAUACGUAGUUCGUAUUUGAAUAGUUAGAUUAACGUGCUAGUAAUCCAAUUGUAGGCAAUUCGUGUGUGGAUCUCGUCAGCAUAUCGUCGCAAACAGGUGUGUAACUAACACCCUCUUUCUUAGUCUAGAUCGGUAAAAGUCGAAAAGCUGAAAUGCCGAAAACCGGUAUUUUGUAGAUUUGCGAGUGUGCGAAUGCUCGUGAGGUAAAUCGAUUAAUUUUUUUGGUAAGUUGCAAUGUUUGGACUGCAAAGUGCAUGAUUUCUGUGCCCUCGAUAUUUUUGGGCUUAAGGGGCCAAAAUUGGAAUGAUUGACCAACGGGCCCAAUUCGGUAAGAACCCUCGGUAGUGAUUCUGUUAGUAUGUGAAAGGUAGGAAUAUGCAUGAAAAACCCUAAAAUAGAUAAAUUACUGAAAUACCUUUAAAAGUGGAAAAUUUACAGUUUUACCCCUAGGAGAUAAAUUAUCGAAAUACCUCUAGGGUUAAAUUGACCUAAAUGCAUGUUUGACUGUUGUUAUUUACUGCAUGCCAUGUUGUUAUUAUCUGAUGCAUGGGACUGGGAUAUUGACGGAGGAAGUAUUGAAAGUGGCUUGUCCACGUACUGGAGGCUUUACCUCAAUUUACUGUUAACUGAGCAGCAAGGUUGCAACUGUGGAGUGUUGGGCUGGGUGGGUUGAGCUAUUCCCCACAUGGAGUGUAUGGCUGGUACGGGUGGAAUGUAGUGGUUAGUGGGUUGAGUAGUCUCCCCAAAUGGGCUUGUAUAUGUUAUUGAUGUUGCAUGUAUUUUGAAAUGGGCCUAUGGGCCAUACUGUUAUCUGAAUAAGGGGCUAAGGCCCAGUUUAUUGUAAUCUGAAAAGGGCUCUGGCCCAGUAUCACUAUUACCUGAAUGGUCUUAGGCCCAAUAGGCUUGAGCUGACUUGGACUUUGAAUGGGUUUUCCUUACACACUGAGUUUCCCCAAACUCACCCCUUCUUUAACCUUGCAGGUGAGCCUUGAUGUGGGUGACUUGGAGCCGGAGGGGAUUCAGAAUGGCCAUGGUGAAUAAUUUUGGGUUUGAAAAAAAAGACUGGUUUUCUUAAGUUAUUUUUAAUUACUGUUUAAUUUUUGGGUUGUAAUAAGGCCAUUUUAACUUUAUUUUCUUCUUUGAUUUUCUGGGAUUAUAUUAUUUUAAACAACUUUAAAUUGUUGGAUAAUAAUUCAAAUGGGCUAGACUUAGGGCGCGAUUUCAAAACAAUGCUUUUUUUUUAAAUAACACGACGUCACGAAUAUUCGAUUUACCAAAGAUAAUCACUCAAAGAAAUUUCAACUUGUCAUAACCAAGUGUGGCAGUGGAUAUGGGCAUGUCUAGGAUUGGAUCCAAUCAGAGAGCUUGGUACUUAAGCAGCCUUCAUGGCUCACCUUCUCUUUUCCGGUUUCCUACCUGGUGCCCAGCUUCCAUUCACUUGGAUAGUUUGACAAAAGUCAGCUUUUAAAACACUGAAAAGGGAACACGGGUUUUUAACUUCAAUGUGGCACAUCGGAUUCGGGCUUAACGUCUGGGCCGGGUUUGGGGUGCUACAGAACUAAACUAGUCUACAUUGAGCAAAGACUUCCUGAUUUUCAGUAAUGUACUGUUGUAUGAAUUGUGAUGUGUUUCAAGACAGUAAGGUAAUGUGAUAGUUUAGAGCAUUCAAUGUUACAUAAAAUCUGAGUUGUUAAAGGGGUUAAAGCCGAGCAUUGGGAUCUAUCAAAAUUAUCCUUACCAAUGUUGAUAUUGGGAUGGAAAUGAGAAGGAUUAUUCUUGAGGCCAUAUCAGAAUUAUUUCUAUGGCGGAAAGAGGAAAAUGUGAUGUAUCCUAUUCUUAAAGGUUUGGCGAGAUCUAUAAAUCAUAUCGGUAUUGAAUGAAUUCCUACUCAUCAGAUUCAUGGAAUUUCAGAUCUCUUUGAUUGUUGGAUUUCUUGGAAUUCCGGUCUCCAUUAAAUCAAGUUGAGAUACGGGUUUUAUGUCAUGAUAUCAUGGGAAACUGAGAAGGGUUGAAAAUUUAAGAACAAUGAAGAGAUGAGUCCGUAAGCUUUCAGAAUAUAUGAGAAAUUAAAGAGAUAUAUUGGAGGCACUGCCUGAGUGAAAGUUCUUCAGCACCGAAUAUGAAAUUGAGAAAUCUAAGUGAAGACCACUUUUCCAGUAAGAUUUUCGGGGACGAAAAUCCCUAAAGGGGGGGAGAGUUGUAACGGCCCAACUUUCAGUGAUAUCGGAACAGUGAUUUGAAAUCGCUAAAUUUGACAUGUGAGUUUAGAUAUUAGUAAGUAAAUGUUAAGUGUGGUUUUAGAAAUAAUUUUGAAUUAAAUGAAAUUAUGUAGUAUAGGAAGUUGUAGAUAAAACAGAAUAAAAACGAGGUAUCAAGACCUCGAAUUCAUAAAUCGAGCCAUAAAUAUUUUUAAAAAUAUUUAUGGAGUGUAAAUAAGUUAGUAUUAAGUUUUCGUUAGAAAAUUUUAACGUUUGGAUAGUCAAUUAAUUAAAAAUGACUAAAUUGAAAAAGGUACAAAACUUGAUAAAAUGAUUAAAUGGCUCAAGUGUUAAAUGAGGGAGGACUUAAAAGGCAAAUUAGCCUAAAGGGAAUGGAUGAGGCGGCAUAAGCAAGAAAAAAAUCUGGAAUCAGGUGAACUAAGGGUAAAAUGGUAAAUUUAACAAAAUUAAACAAAUAAAUUGAAAUUGAAAAAGAUUUCUAGGCCAUUCUUCUCAUAAUUUCGGCCAGACAGCCAUGGGAGAGAGCUUUUAAGCUGGUUUUGCAAAAUUCCACUGCAUGUGAGUUUAUUUCUUGCCCUUUUCUUAUAUUUUUGUAUUUUUAAGACUUUUGCAAUUAGGUCCAAUUAUCUAAUUCAUUAGUUUUUGAUUUGGUGGGUGAAAUUGGAAGUUACCCUGGUUGAGUAAGGGUAGUAUAUGAUGAAUUAUUAUGAAAUUGAAGUUCUAAUUUCAUAUUAAGGUUGUUUUAUUAAGUCAUUUUGAUAGAAAAUGGUAUUUAGGACCUAAUUGUGAAAAAGUUGUGAAUUAAAUGUUAGUGUUGAAAUUCAGAAUAUCAAAGGUUGUGAAAUAAUUUAUAAUGAUAAAAUAAAAUGUUAAUUGAGAAAAAAAAUUAGUUCAAUUGAUGGGUGAAAUGAGCAGGGACUAAAUUGUAAAAACUGUAAAUUUUGGGGUAAAAGUGCAAUUUCGAAAUUUGAACAGCAUAAAUUGUGGAGUGAAAUAGAAGUCAAAUAAAUGCUAAUGAGUAGAAAUACUUUAUAUUAUAGAUCAAUAAUCCAAAGAAGAACGAGAAAAAGAAAAAGUUACAGAAUAGUCUCUAAAUUUCAAUAUCUUCUACAAAUCAGCCAGGUAAGUUCAUAUGUAAAUGUUGGUAACAUAGUUAUUAUUUUAAAUAUUUUUAUGUUAUUUAAAUGAUAUGAUAAUUAUUAUGAAAUAUUAUACUCGUGAUAAUUGUUUGAUAAUAUGUCAAAUUAUGUGAUAUACUUGGAAAAUGUGAAAUACUACCGAGUAUCGGUAUCAGCAUUCCGUAGGAGAUGGUUGAGACACAUGAUUGGGAAAAAGGUCCCGUUGAACCUUAGGAAUGGAUUAGGAUACAAAUGACAUGUCACUAGGAUAUUUGGGCAUCCGAACUCGUUGAGUUGAGUCCGAGUUCACUUAUGGAUGCGAAUGUCCGAACUCGUUGAGUUGAGUCCGAGUUCGAGAGAUGUAACUAGGCAUCCGAGCUCGUUGAGUUGAGUCCGAGUUCACUUAUGGAUGCGAACGCCCGAGCUCGUUGAGUUGAGUUCGAGUUCGCUUAUGGGCGGGUUACAUGGUAGCUUGGCUACAUAUGUGGCACUUAUGUGCAAACUUUCCAUGUAUCCGAAUUAUAUUCCGAUGUGUUCAACGGGUAAAAUUCUACUCAAAUGGAGGAAUACUAGAGAUGAAAGGGACGUAUUGGUAAGUGUCGUGAAAUGAAUACUUUGAACAGGUUUGUACUUAACCCUCGGGUUGAAAACUCGACAUGACAACAAUAUGGUAAGAUUGUAAAUGAAAAUGUGAUAUGAAUGUCUCGGUGAUGAUUAUGAAAAUGAUGUUUUAUGUUUGCUUAUAUAGUUGUGUUACUUGCUAUUUGUAUGUGAACUUACUAAGCAUUUAUGCUUACUCCCUCCUUUUCAUUCCUUGUAGUUUUGACAAGCUAGCUCGGAAAUCAAGAACGGUCGGAGGCUCGCUCACACUAUCCGUGUAUCAUCUUGGUAUAACGGUUUGUAUAUUUUGAGCAUGGCAUGUAUAUCAUUAUAAUCAUUUUGUGUAUAUAGUCUUAUGAUAUGGUUAUUGAGUGGUAUGGAAAUGCUUGAUAAUGAUUAGCUGUUGGAAUGGCUAAUUAAUGACAUAUUUGGUGUUAUGUAUGCCUAAGUGCUAGUUAUUCCAUGGAAAUCAUGAAAUAGGUAAAAUUUACCAUAAAAUAGAUUAAGACAGCAGCAGUGACGUGAGUUUGAAAAAUCAUUAAAAAUAGUAGAGAUAUAAUUAGAUGAUGAAUAAAAUAUGAAAUUAAAGAAUUAUGAGUCUAUUUUCAUAUGAAUGGAACAAAUCAGGUAUAUGAAUUAUAUUUUAUGAGAUGUUUAAAUUUUUGUGAAACAGGGCUAGAGCGAUUUCUGGAUCCCUGUUCUGACAUUGGAAAUUCACCAUAAAUUUUACAAAGAUAAUUAGAAGUCACGCUUUAUAUGUACAGAUUCCUUAUUGAGUCUAGUUUUAUUAGAAAUAAACGGCAUAGCAUUGAAACUCUGUACAGGGAGAUAUCUGAUUCAUAAUACACAGAGGUCAGAGCAGUCAAACCUUGAAAUAAGGGAUACUUUAACUAAUAAACUGUACUAAUUGGCUCAACCAAAAAUUCUAGAAAAAAAUUAGUAAAUAGAUAUAUGAGUCUAGUUUAAGGAAAAAUUUACGGAAUUGGAUUUUGAGUUUCAGAACUCGAGAUAUGAAUUUUUAAGAAACUGUGAUGCAGUUGGAUAGCUUGUCCGAAUUUGUUUAAGUGCUCAAAUAAGUUUAGUAAUGCCUCGUGCUCGACUCCGGCGACAGUCUCGGGUAAGGGGGCGUUACAAGAAUCAUUACUAUUAUUGGUCAUUUCUCUGGCAUCUGCCUAUGUACUUAUUAUCACCUCCAGAUGUAUUUGUAGACGGGGACCAAGAGUAGGGUUAUUAUACGAACUCCCACCAUAAUUAGGAUUUGUAGGUAUCUGCGAUCUCCCUUCACAUUCUAAUUGGUCUUGCUAUCCAACAUUAAGAUCAAAGUCAAAUUCCCAAUGUUGACUUAUUGGACUAACAUUCUGAACAGACUCUAAGUUUGCUAACUCAGCAAAUAACUCAACUGAUUAAGGGUUCUUACUCCUAGUCGACUACCAUAUUUCCAUCAUAGUGCCCAAGUCAUUAUCAUCUAACAGCUGCAUCUCACAAAAUUUGAACAGAUCUGUAGAGAUUGGAAACGUGUAAAAUAAUUUGGACAUUGCCCUUCCACAACGGAUAGCUAUUUUCGCACUGAUAUUCCUUUUUAUUUCUGUCAGCUUCACAUUUUUUUUUGAAUUGCAAACCUACUCUUUGCCUAUUUUAAAAUAUACAACCAAUAUCACCUUCUACAAUUUCACCAUAAAAAAGAACAUAUACCGAAAACACCUCAUUAUUCAUAUUCAACAGAAUUUUUGAAAUCUUCUACUGAACACAACAAUUUCACCAUUCUACAUAUGCUAGAGAAUCAAGAGGUGGCGCCAUAUAUAAAGAAUGGCUCCACCAAAAUAAAAUAUUAAAUAUUAAAUUUUUAUAUUAGAAAAAUAUUAAAAGUUACACUUGUAAUAAAGUGAUGGAGCCAUUCUAAAUGGCUCCACCAAAUAAAAUAUUAAUUUUUAAAAUUUUAAAUUUAAUUUUAAAAAUCGUUUGAAUAUCUUUAAAAUUAAUUGAAAAAUUAAUAAUUUAUAAAAAUUAUAUUUAAAAUUAAAAAAUAUUUAAAAUAUACAUUUAAAAUAUUAUAAAACAAAUAAGAAAUUUGAAAUGUCAUAUCUUUAAAAUAAUAUAUUUUAGAAAAAUUAAAAUUAUUAUAAAAUAAAUUUUAAAAAUUAAUAUUUAAAAUAUUAUAAAACUAAUAAUAAAUUUAAAAGGUCAUAUCUUUAAAAUAUUUAAAUGUUUUAUAUUAUUAAAAAUAUAUUUAAAAUUUUAAAAAUAAUAUUUAAAAUUUUAAAAAAAUAUAUUUGAAAGAUAAAUAAAAAAACUUUAAAAAAGUAAAUAAAUAAAAACUUAAAAAGAAACAAAAAUGAAAAAGGGCAAAUCAUAAAAUGUGACGUGAAGGAAAAAAAAUAAAAAAUUUACCUUUACCUGUUUUAAUAGGAAAUAGGUGGCAGACAACUAUUUCCUUAAAAUCUAGUGGUGCUAAUUUAUUGAGCUCCAUUAAAAAAAUGUAAAAUUAUUUAAACCCCUUUUGCUUUCAAAAAUUACAAUAUUGCUCUAAUAUUUAAUCAAAAGUGGUGCCAUUCGAUAUGACUCCACUAAAAAAUUGAUAUUUUAAUGUAAAUUGCUGACAUAAUAUGUUAGUGGCGCCAAACACUUUGGUUCCACUAACUUUUACUGUAAAUUUUAGAUUAUUUUCGUAUUUUGUCAAAAAAUAUUUAAGUAAUUAAUUAAUUUUUUAAGAUUAUUUUUAUAAAAAAGCUUAGCUUCCACAUGCCAGACUGUACAUAUUAAAAGGGGGUUUUUUUACUAAUAUAGUUUAAAAAAUAAAAAAAAUACUAAAAUAGUAUAGGGCAAAAAAUAUUGACGAAAAUGGUAUGGAAGGUGGUGCUGCCUAUGGCAGUGGCAUGACCACCCUAGGUUCCACCAUUUUCUGUUAAAAAGGAAAAAAAAAAACAAAAAGCUGAAAAAAAAGAGAUUGUGUGGGUCUUAGAGGCGGCAUUGCCCCAUUAUAAAAUCUAGAUUCGAAAAUUUUAAAAUACAAACAAAUGGACAAAAUUAAGGUUAUUUAUUAAAUUAAUAUAAAAAAAACUAAAAUAAUACAUUUGAAACAUUAUGUACUAAAAUAUUGUAAAAGAAUAAAAUAGGAAAAUAGUAUAUUUUAAAAAAUAAGAUCCGAAAAUUUUAAAAAUACAAACAAAGGGACAAAAUUAGAGUUAUUUACUAAAUUAAUAUAAAAAAAACUAAAAUAAUACAUUUGAAACAUUAUGUACUAAAAUAAUAUAAAAAAUAAAAUAAGAAAAUAGUAUAUUUUAAAAAAUAAAAUUCGAAAAUUUUUAAAAUUUUAAAAAUACGAAAUUUUUUUAUUUUCCAAUGAAUUUAAUUAAUUACAUAUUAUAAUAUAUUUUAAAAUAAUAUUGAACAACUUAUCAUGUGUUUUUUAAUUAUUAUUGCAUCACUGAAAUUAUUAUUAAAUAAAAAUUAAAUUAAAUUAAAAUAUAUUGAACUACAUGCCGGGUGUAUUAAAUAUAUUAUAUUUUAAACCAAAAUAUUUUACUUAUUAAAUAUUUUAAAUUAUAAUAAAAAUAUUUGUAUUUGAGUUGGAUAUAUUUAUUACUUUAAUGUAGUAUAGCAAAAAAUAUGUUGUCGAAAAAAUUACUUGCUAUUUUUUUGUAAUUAAAAGCAAUAUAUAAAAUUUAUUUUGUUAAUAACCGAAAUUUAUUUUGAAAUUACAGGCAUCCCAAUGGCUAUUUUAGUGCUUCUUGCUUCCCGAGUUGCUGCUUCUUCUUGCUUCCCGAGUUGUUGCUUCUUUUUGCUUCCAAAACUAGAUUUUAUAAUGGGGCGGUGCCGCCUCUGUCAGAGGCACAACCAGUGCCGCCUCUGCGACCCACACAAUCCCAUUUUUUUUCAAUUUUUUAUUUUUUUUCAUUUUUAAUUAUUUUUCUUUAACAGAAAAUGAUGGGACUCAGGGUGGUCAUGCCAUUGCCAUAGGCGGCACCACCUUAGUCCAUACCAUUUUCGUCAAUAUUUUUUGUCAUAUAUCAUUUCAGUAUUUUUUUAUUUUUUUAAAACUAUAAUUGUAAAAAAACCCUAUUAAAAGGUCACUAGCUUCAACGCCAUUCUUGAUGUUACCAAGUCCCCUGUAAGAAAUUAAGCCUCCCCUAAAUCUGAUUCCAUCUAUAUCCAAGUAUAUUCAUCGAAAAUUCGUCGCACUUUACUUUUAUCUUUUCCAUUCACACAGCUCUAAUACCUUCUUUAUCUAGCUCUGAUUUGACUGGGAAAAGAUUUCUUUCUUUUGGUACAACAGCUUAUUCAACAAUCCACUGUCACGUCAAUGUCAGAUCCUAUUAGUAGUUGUAAAAGUUGCCUGCUUAAAGAACUAGUUAAUUAGUACGAGUAACUUUGAGAAACGGCUCCAAAACCCCGUCACAAAGAUUACUAGACGUUGAAGUCUUGCAUCAUAAUUUCAUCGCCAGAAUAAAAAGUUAUAACCAAGCAUGUCAAUAAUUAAACACUGCUUAUCUUCCUACUCAGGCAUGGAAUUAAUAGACAUGUUACAAAGGAAUCAAAUAUCAUAUUUUAUUAAUGGAUUUUCUAGAAUUUUAAAUCAACAAUCGACCCCUUUCUAGUUUGUUUAUAUAAACCUUGCAAGUCAAUGAUUCCAGGCGUACACAGAAAUCUUCAAACUAAGCUUCUUUUCUCCAUUGCUUUGAGAGGAGUACUGAGAAAGCAGCUUUGUCAUAUUUCUAUUUAUAUAUAUAGCUUCAAAGUGAUGAUACAUGAGACAAUUCAUUCUUUUCUUUCUUUCUUCCAUUCGAAUACCCUCCAAAACAUGCUUUCCAAGAAAAGACCUCGCAUACGAAUUGUCCGAAGAUCCGAUAAAUAUUCUCAAAAUGCUGAGGCCAUUGCCAACAACUAUGAUCUUUUGAUACUGAUUCUAGUUCGUUUACCUGUUAAAUCUCUUCUUCGAUUCAAAUCUGUUUCGAAAACCUGGCACUCUUAUCAUCUCCGAUCCCGAAUUCUCUCGUCACCUUUCUCUCGACAUAUCAGGUCUCAUCAUGUGCAAAUUAAGUUAUCAAGUCAACAAACCUGAAUAUGGCUUCAUCCCUCUUGGAAACAAAUCAUCAACUGAUGAUGCUCCCUCUAAGUAUCUGGAUUUCAUUAACCACCCAUCAGGUUUGAAAGUUGUGCAAUCAUGCAAUGGAUUGCUAUUAUGUAGUAGCUCCCGUUAUUACAACAAUUUCAAUUAUGAUUAUUACAUUUAUAAUCCUACAACCAAACAAUUUGUUACUAUUCCUUUACCAAGUAACCUGCAGAAUGCUAGAAUUGUAUGUCGUUUGAGCUUAGCAUUUGAUCCAACCAAGUCACUUCACUAUAGAGUUGUAUGUGUUCGAAACCCCGACCCAUGGCUCAACAUUUCGGAUGAUCCGGAAUCGGACUAUGUGAGCCAACAAAUCGAAAUAUACUCCUCCCAAACUCGUUCCUUGAGACUCUCCGGUAAAUCUUUCCUUGCCCAUGUCAACACUGGGUUUGGUGGUGAGCUGUUUUGCAAUGGUGCCAUUCAUUGGCUUGGUGCAUGUAACAAUACUUCUUUCUAUUUCAACGCCGAAGAAGAGGAACUUCGAGAUUUGCCAAUGCCUCCAAUUCCCGAUGAUUGGGAAUGCCUUAGGCGGGUUCUGUAUUUCGGGGAAUCUCCAAACCGUUUGCAUCUUAUCGAAAUAUAUCCACCUCCAACAAGUCGAUUCAGUGUGUAUGAGGUUGAGAGUGAUUACUCUGGGUGGUUUGUGAAGUAUAACAUUGACCUUGAUCCACUAAUGGUAAGGACUUAUCGGGAUCCUUCGGAUUUGAACUAUUACGUGUUUUCCAUUUUUUAUAUUGUUAGGGAAGCAAAUGAUGAAGAAUCAUACAUGGUAUUGCAUAUACCUGAGAAGGCUGUUCGGUAUAGUCUAAAAGAUGGCAGCUUCAAGAAAAUAUGUGAUUUGGCUGCAAAUGAAGCUGAGUAUAGGAGCAGCCCUGCUUUGAUUUUAUUGGCCUAUUCUUGUGUUGGUGAAUUCAUUCAAACUCUUAUCUCCUGUAUCACAACAAUCUCGAGAAUAAAAUUUAUUAUUACUUUCCAUCCUACCAAAUUAUAUAUGAAUUUUAUUGCACUAUUUAUUUCUAAGCUUGAAUUUUCAAAGUGGGGUGUGUUUAGCAUUUUCGGGCAAAUAAAAAAAAACAGAUUUGAUGUGACAAUGAGGAGGAGCACGAUGACGCAAUGGACGACGUUUCAAUGAGCAUUUGUAACCCUAUUUAGAGAGUUGACGGAAUAACUUUUGCAUAAUAUUUGAUGAAGAGUUUUUGGAAUACAGUUUGAGGGAGUUUUGUAUUUGGGUUUUGAGUUUUGCUUAUUUAGAUUAUUUUCUCCAUUUUGUACUCUUUGUCCAUGAUUUUUUUACUCUUAACUGAGUUUUUUUCAUGUAAAAUUGAUGUGUUCUAUCUUUUUUUUUUCUUUCAUUGUUUAUACAGAUCGAUUCUCAAUAAGUGAUAAAAUAAAAUUUUAGGUUUAAUCAAGUUCGUUAAUAGAGACUUCCUAAAAAUGUUACAUUCAGCAAAUUCAGCCAUGCUUACAAUUGUCUCCAAUGCUAUCCAAGUAAAAAAUGAAUUGAUACUUUUUUUUUUCCAAGAUUGAAUGGAAUGUGUUAUGGGUAAAUUACAUUAAUAAUUCCUAAACUCUUCUUAAGCUCAAUUUUCGAAAAUUGAGCAUGUGGUCAUAAAAAUUCUAGCUCCAGGUUUGUUGGCUUGUUAAUUCUGUCUCCUUCCUUAGACAGCAAACAGCAUUGUCAUUGUGAUAGUUGACUAAUUGCAUUUUAUCAUAUCAUAGCAAAUCCUUAAUUGUAUAUUCAACCAUAAAUCCAUACAUACACCCAAUGUGUUUUAUGACAAGGCACCCAUGUGCCUCAUUAUCAAUGUUUUUCAUUGGCUAUGUAAUAUCUGACUAAACUUCUUCUCUCCAUUGUGUUUAUGAAUUGCUUGAAACUGUUGAUUCGUGAAGCAAUUCUUUUUUCAAUCCUACUGGGUAAUCGGAUACUCUAUAGUGUGCUCUCCACGAAGUGGCCUCGGAUAGAAUUGACGAGAUCCGACAAACAUUCCCCUAAUGCGGAGGCUAUUGCUAAUAACUAUGAUCUUCUGAUGCAUAUUUUUGCUUGUUUACCUAUUAAAUCUCUGUCACCUCCGAUCCCAAAUUCUCUUGUUGCCUUUUUCUCCGCAUAUCAAGGCUCAUCAUGGAGAAAUCGAGUUCUCCAAUCAUCAAACCUGAAUAUGGCCUCAUCCCUUUUGGAAACAUGUCAUCAACCGAUGAUGCUACUCUCUAUGUAUCUUGAUUUCAUUAACCACCCUUCAGGUUAAAAAUUUAAUGUUUUAGUUAGUAUUUUCUUUUUUAAAAAAUAAGUAAUUUGAUUAUUUUUGAAAGGUUAAUGAUUAAAUUGAGAUUAAAAAAAGAACAAAUACUAAAUUGACAAAAAAAUAUAACCGUUGAAGGUUACACUUAUCAUUAUGAGUUAGACUUGAUUAAAAUAUGCCAUAAGUCCAUAUACUCUUCACAAAUUUGGAAUUUAGUGUUUGUACUUUUAUUUUCAAGAAUUUAGUACUUCUACUUUUCAGAUUUCAAAAUUCAAGUCCAAUUGUUAGCAUUGUUAAUUUUUUUAUUAAAUUUAUUGGUGUAACAUUUUAAAAUAAAUAAAAUGCUCACUUAGUAGCCAUAUAACUACAAAAAUGACAUUGUAAUAAACUUGAAUUUAGCAAAAUAAUUUUAAUAUCGUUAAUAAUUGGACCUGAAUUUUGAAAUAUGAAAGUAAAUGUAUUAAAUUCCUAAAAAUAAAAGGACAAAGAUAAAUUUUAAAUUUUCAAAAAAUACAAAAACUUAUGGCAUAUUUUAACUAAUUUUAAAAUAUCACCUAACAUUUAAAAAAAAUGUGAUAUGUUCACUUAACAUUCUAACUUAAACGCAUAGUAUUGCAUGUAAUUAGUGAAUAGGGUAUGAAAUCAAGUCGAUUUAAAUGCAAUAAUUCGUGUUAAGCUACAAGGACCUUUUUGUAAAUAGUAUAUUGACUGCAGAUAGCAUAUUAAUUAAUAUAUAUAUAUGGGUAAAGCUAAAAAAAAUUUUGAGGGGCUGGAAUUAAUUUUUAUAUUUUUACGAUAACAAAAGUGAAAUUUUACUAUUUUAAUGGCCUAUAUCUUUAUAAUUUGAAAGGUUUAAAUCAAUUUUUUCUCAUUUUUGAGGAGUCAAAGUGUAAUUUUAUCAUAUAUUAAUUUAAAAUUUUUAAAGUUAUAAAAGAACUAAAGUGAAAUUUUUCAUUUUAGGGCGGACUCCACCCAAGUAUAUAUAUAGGAAAUUAAAACUUCAAUAAAAAAAAUCAUAUAUUAUAAAUGGAUUUUCCAGAAUUUUUAAAUCAGCAACUGACCAAUUCCUAAUUUGUUUAUAAUCCUUGCAAGUCAAUGAUUCUAGGCGUACCCAGAAAUCUUCAAACUACUCCAUUGCUUGAAGAGGAGUAUUGAGAAAGCAACUUUAUCCUAUUUCUACAUAUAUAGCUUUAAUGUGUUGACACAUGACACAAUUCCUUUUCAAUCUUAUUCAGUAUUCGAAUACUCUUUAAAAUAUGCUCUCUAGGAAGAGACCGCGGAUGCGAAUUAUCCGAAGAUCCACUAAACAUUCUCAAAAUGCUGAGACCAUUGCCAAUAACUAUGAUCUUCUCAUACAGAUUUUAGUUCGUUUACCUGUUAAAUCUCUUCUCCGAUUUAAAUCUGUUUCGAAAACCUGGAACUCUAUCAUCUCCAAUCCCGAAUUCUCUUGCCGUCUUUUUCCUGACAUAUCGGGCCUCGUCAUGCGGAAUUUGAGUUCUCCAGCCAACAAACCUGAAUAUGGCUUCAUCCCUCUUGGAAACAAAUCAUCAGCUGAUGAUGCUCCCUUUUAAGUAUCUGGAUUUCAUUAACCACCCAUCAGGUUUGAAAGUUGUGCAAUCAUGAAAUGGAUUGCUAUUAUGUAGUAGGUCCCGUUGUGACAACAAAUCCAAUUAUGAUUAUUACAUUUAUAAUCCUACAACCAAACAAUUUGUUAUGAUUCCUCCACCAGCUAACCCGCAGGAUGCUAGAAUUGUAUAUAGUUUGAGCUUAGCAUUUGAUCAUACCAAGUCGCCUCACUAUAAAGUUGUAUGCGCCCGAGACCCUGACCCAUGCUCAACAUUUCGGAUGAUCCAGACUCGAACUUCAUGAGCCUACAAAUCGAAAUAUACUCGUCCCAAACUCGUUCCUUGAGACUCUCCGGUAAGCCUUUCCUUGCCCAUGUCAACACUGAGUUUGGUGGUGGGGUGUUUUGCAAUGGUGCCAUUCAUUGGCUUGGUGCAUGGAACAAUACUUCUUUCUAUUUCAACGUCCAAGACGAAGAACUUCGAGAUUUGCCAAUGCCUCCAAUUCCCGAUGAUUGGGAAGACCUUAGGCGGUGUCGGUAUUUCGGUGAAUCUCAAAACCAUUUGCAUCUUAUCGAAAUAUACCGACCUCCAACAACUCGAUUCACUGUGUACGAGAUUCAGAGUGAUUACUCUGGCUGGUUUGUCAAGUAUAACAUUAAUCUUGAUCUACUAACAGCUGCAUAUCCAGGAAUGGUACGGACAUAUUGCGUUCCUUCGGAUUUGAAUUAUUAUGUCUUUUCGGUUCUUUGUAUUGUUAGGGAAGCAGAUGAUGAAGAAUCAUACAUGGUGCUGCAUAUACCUGAGAAGGCUAUACACUACAAUCUAAAGGAUGGCAGCUUCAAGAAGAUUUGUGAUUUAGAUGCAGAUGAAAAUGGUUAUAAGGGCAGCCCUGCUUUGAUUUCCUUGACAUAUUUUUGGGCUCAUCAUUUCAUCCAAACUCUCUCUCGUGUAUGAAGGAUAACUUAUUACAUAGUAUAUAUAUUUAUAUAUGCAUGUAUGCACCUAUAUAUACAUAUAUGCAAAACAAACAGAAUCUUAGAUAUUAAAGGCAUUACAUAUCAAACUUAAUUGCAUAAUUUGCAAUUAAUGCUACAAGAAUGCAUCCAUAUCUUUUUUCCAUCAAUUCUAUAGCUGUAUGAAAUAAACAAAUGCUAGCAAACAGUUUUACUUUUAACUGUGAUAUAAUGAAGCCUUUACAAGCAUAUUAGAUUAGCACGAGCCACCAUUAUUCCUUUCUUUCAAAUAUUUUCCCUCUUUCCCCACAUCAGCUUCUUCCCAUUUUCUACCUUCUGACUGAAUCAGCUGAGCUACUCUCCAAUGGGGUGAACAUGAAAUUCCCAGAAAACAUGGCUUCUUUAUCUGCAAAUUAAAUCCCAAAUUUUAGGUUAAGUUUGAAGACAUUGGAUUCAACAUCAUAAACUCAAAGUUCCCAAUAAAUAAUCACCGUCAAUUAGUUAGUUGGACUGAUAAAAAAUAGCCUACCAGUUAACGAGAGGCAACUGACUUCAUGACAAACAUACCUUGCCAUCGCCUGCAGACAAAAACAUAAAUCAACUCAAAAUAAACUUAUGUUGUUCAUACUGUAUUUCAUGUUAUGAGCACAGUCGUUCUUCUCCAAGAGGUUAAAAUAUGGAUGCAUUGGCAUUUCAAAAAGGAACUAAAGAAAAUACCUAACGAACCAACACCACAUCCUACAUAACUGUUAAUUACUAUGGCAUAAAAGAAGAGAUCGGAACAUGCCUGGACUGUACGUAACGCGGCAGCAUCUGGCUUGGAUGUACCAUCAUCAGAAAAGAUAUUCCUGCAAAAUUCCAAACCAAUGUUUGAAGCUGAGUAAAUUCAUUGCCAAAAAUGUACACCAAAUGGUGAUGCAAGUAAGAUCAGGUUUGAUAAGCCUCAGAAGGACUGAGAGUGGCUACAACUUCAUUGCACCACCCAAACUGAAAAAGGGACCAAGUCUAAUUCUUACAUCAUAAUUUCAUGGCUAUCCACCGGGAAUCACCAAGUUUCAGUAUAACAAAUUACACAUCUAGUUACUGUAGUUCUAAAUGGCAGGCAUAUAAAUUAUUAAACAAAACUAAUCUUCCUUGCAUAGGCACAGAAUUAAAAGAGAAGUUGCAAUGAGGACAACCAUAAAUGACCGGAACAAGUUCCAAUAAAGAUCUUACCUCCAUAUAACCUCUGUUAGCUCCUCGUGUGUAGCCUCCGGAAGCAAGGCAGCAUCAUAAGCAACAAUAUUUCCAUAGAAUAUCUUCUCCAAUUCUUUCAUCCAUUUCGUCAAAAGUAAGUUAACCUGCCAUUUCAAAGAUAAUAAAACUUGCUUCACAACAACUAUUCAAGUCUCAAGCGAUAUAACAGCAGAUCAACAUACCCCAGCUUUAGAUACUCUGAGCUCGACAUCAUGAUUAUAAAUCUCAUAGACGUAUUGUCCUAAUUCAACACCAUCUUUUCCUUCAGCUUUCAACCGGCGUAAGCAGAGCCACAUAUGAAGUACAAGCAGUGAAAACGUCAUCCUGAAUGUCUUCUCCAAGUUAAAUACUGCACAUAAAAAAGACCAAUGUUACUGCCAACAAAAGGAAAAUCCAAAAAUUUAAUAGAAGUUUUCAUAUAUAAAAAUAAAAGAGGAUAGAGACCUUCAUAAAUAGCAGGUUUAUCAACUUGGGAAAGGACACGCCUAUAUAUAACAUUAGCCCCUCGAAUUGACUUGCUUUGUUUACUAUAGAAAAGCAUCAUCUUGAGAACAAUACGCCUAAUGCCUUCAUACUUUGGGUCUUCCACUCUAAGGGGAGAAUCUGGGGCCAAAGCCAAUGAACAAGGCUUAGACCAAAACAUUUUAUCCAAAUUUACCUAUUCAAAAAUAAAAACCCAGAUCAUAAACAACCCAAUAAAAGAUCUUGAAGAGAUGUAUUGGUGUAAAUUCAUAUUGGGUAUAUUUUUUGAGAGAAAAUAAAAGAUGUUACCGAUGAUUUGGUAGGUGGGAAGGAAUCAGCAGGAGCAGGUGCAGGUGCCACAGCUGCAUAGCUUUGGUGAUGAAUCAAACUGAAAUCUUUGCCUAAUUCAAUGGAAUUGAAUGAUCGUAGCUUUGAGAGAUGGGAUAAAGCUCUGCUCCAUCGAGGUAGCAUUUUUCUUUUUGAGAAAUGAAAUCUGAUUUCCUUUUACAAUCCAAAGGGGGUAUUGCUUCAGCUUUCAAAGCCCUAAACCCUCGCUCACUGUAACUGAGCCACACUCGAAAACGAUAAAGAGGAAAAGUCAGUAAAUCGUGCGGUGCAUAUUAACUGAUCAAACAACCUCGAUACUAACACCAGAUUUAUCCACGUCACCCAAAAAUAUAAUAAUAUAAACGUAUAAAAUAUAUAAAAUGUAAUAAUUCAUAAAAAAAAUCAGAAUAAGAAUUUUCGUUAAAUUUGACAAUAAAAGUCUACUUUGUUAGUUAAUUUUUUUUGUGUGUUUAUUUUGGUAUUUAAAUUUGACAAUUAAAUCUAUUUUUAUCUUUACACAUGAAUUUCGUCAUUUGUAUUUUGUUACAUGUAUUUUUUUGUUCACUUAGAUACUUGAACUUAGUAAUUAAAUCCAUUUGAGUCUUUAAACAUGAUUUUUCUCAAAUUCUGAUUAUAUGACCAUCAUUCUUGAAACAUAAUAAAAUUAAUCAAUUGGACUAAUUAGAUUAAGAAUUAACCUAUAUACUAUUCCAAACAAAAAGGCUAAACUGAUUAAAAUAAAAAACUAGUCAAAACCAAUAAAAAUCGAAAAUGAGACAAAAAUCAAUUGUUAAACAAGUUGAACCAAUUUAAUAGUUUUCUAUUUUCUUAUUUUUAUGAAUCUUAAUUAUUUAUUUAAUUAUUAUUACUCUAAACAAUUAAACCAAUAAAAACCUAUCAAUUCAUGUCAUCAAUUGAAAAGCUCCGAUAUCAAAUUUUCACAUCAUAAAAUUUUUAUAUUUUUUAAAUUUAAAGACAAAAAAAAUCUAAUUAGCAGAUUAAAAUACCAAAAAACAGAUACUAAAAUAAAUUUAGAGGCUAAAAGUUGAUAUUAAAUCAAUACUUAAAUUUUACAAUUUAGCAAAUAUAAAAAUUAAAUCAUAUGAUAUUAUAAAAUUUCUUUAAAAAAAAUUCAGAUGAUUUUGACACAAAUCUCUAAAUGCUAAUAUUCAACUAUUACUGGUAUCUCCCAUCAUAAUUUGUACCUUUUAUUCUUCACUCCCACCAAAAGAUAAUUAAAGACUGCAUCUGGAUUAUGAUGAAUUAUGCAUCAUAAUUACUCUUGUUCAUACGAAGUACAAACAAACAGCUGCAAAAGCUUCAUAACAAAAUUAAAAAAUUAAUUAUAUUACAUUAACAAAACUGUCAACACUGGUAUAAAAUAAAUGAAGGAUUGGCCAAGGCGUACAAAAUUUGGCAGGUACUAUUUAACCUUUAACUUAAGCUUCCUAUAGUAACUAGUUUUAAACUGAAAAUUGAGACUUGCUGUCUUGCAUCAUUCAACCCUUUUCUCAUACAAUGGUUUUUCCCCGGAUAAAUGAAAAAUGGGGUAAUGGUUUACCAUAUCCUGACCGUCAUCAGAGGUAUUCGCGAAGGUUUUCACCACUCAUAGUCUCCAUCUCCUUGAGGAUAUCUUGUGCCAAUGAUUUGACCGGUAACUCCACAUCUUCCAGCAAUUCACCUAGGAAGGGGAUGGUUUCUGGUAGCAGUACCAAAUAUUCUUCUUUUAAUUUCUCCAGAAAUUCCCUAACUAUUCUCAACCCCAACACUCGAGCACGCAUCUUCUCACUCCGUGUUUGCAUCAAUACCUGUCGUAUUUGAAAUAACAAUACAAGUCAACGUGGAAAUACACAAAAGGUUUGAAAUGAUCAGCUCUUAAACAUAUUAGAUGAUAUGAGGGCUGUGCAACAAGGUAUCAAAAAGACUGCAAUUCCGAGCUCAAAAGGGCAAAAAGGAUAGAAAACCACCUCGUGGUUCAGGGGCUUCCACAGCAGGUCAGUUCCAGCAGUAACAGCCAUCUGACCUAUGCAAACAACCAGCAAGUCAUCUACUUCCUUCAGAGACGGUACAUCGGUUUGCUCUUCAACGGAAGUUGGAGGCUCAAUGACAAGCUGAGAAACAAUGGGCUUCAAUAAAACCUGCAUACGAAAUUCAAAAUGUUCCAUCAGUUAAAACAAUUAGAAUCAGGAUAAGCAACCCUAACCAAAUGAAUUAUCAAAGCCAUUCAAUUACCCAUAGUUUCUAAAUAAGAUGAUACACAAAGAAUGCUCAGUAAAUAGAUGAAGGGCAACAUAUACAAGAUAAAGGAAUUGUAGGCAUCUGAAAAGUGAAAUCCUUAAGAUUUCACAAGUCAAUUACCCAAGGGUCACCUAGAUAUGAGAUUGAAUACAUACAUAUAUGUGUGUGUAUAGUUUUAAGGAAUAAUUUAACAUAUACCUACACUUUAAUUAGAACCAACUCCAUGAACUAUAAAAACUACAAUUAAGAAAAUAAGAUUUGCUAACCUGAAAGUUUGAUGAAUCGAGAAACUUCUGCCUUCCAGUGUCAUGGAGAAAACAUUUGUGUAGUGAUGAUAAGAUCAAUGCCCUAAGAUGCCAACUUUUAAGUGAUACGCAGCCAUUUACAAUAUUCCCAUCCUCCUGAACCUUGGGUUUCUUUUUCUUCCGUACUAAAUCAGAAGCUUUAUCUGCAGAAUCACUAAGCAGCUGAACACAACUCUUGACCAAGUACUUGAAGUAGGGGACAAACAAAGACCUGCAUUUAGGAAGAACAGCAUAUAACUCUAAACCAACUGAUUAAUAAAUAAUAAGCACAUAUAUAAAAGCGAGUUGUUCUAAGCAACAGAGAACUAUUGCAGCAUUUCUACGAUAAAAGGAGUUCCAUGUCUGAUAUGACCAAGUCCUGAAUAGAACAGCACGUUAUCAAAUUUGUGUAUCUGAUAUUUUCAUGCAUCAAUUUUCAUAACCAAAAUGUACUCAUCUAGGACCACAAACCUUCAAUAUAGAAAUGACAGAAAAAGUAGAGAACAGAAACGAAUUUCGAAAGGAAAAUCGUUGAGAUCUGGAACUGAUGAAGAUAAAGGUGAACCACACCACUAAGAAGACAUAUUCAGAAAUUAACCAUAACUCCGCAUCAAAUAUGAAUCAGAAACUUGAGAAAAAUUUAAUUACCUAUGAUUCUCCACAAGUUUAUUAACCAGGCUAUAGAAUGAUAUAGCCCUGUCAAUAUUCAUGGUUCCACUACCAGCAACAUCUUGAAACUCUGUCUCGGCCCACUCAAUACUCUUGGCAAAAAGAGGUUUAAACAUAUUCUCUGUUAGUUUCAUUGUAAGAGAAAUUAUCGCAUUGAUAACGCUUUUUUCUACAGCAUCAAUAGUUUGAACUGUAACAGGAUGUUGCCGACGCAAAUCAAGAGCAACCAUGCAUUGGUCAAAAAUCUUUCCAUAGGAACCACUAACUGAUGUCCUAUCCAUUUUACUAACUAGAUCUGCUAACAUUUGGAAAGCAAUCACCAAGCUUGAAUCUCCAGAUUUAACAGCACCCGAGUAUAUCUUUAGCAAAGGCUGAAAAGUAAGUCGAACCUGGAAACAAAAUCAGAAGAAAUAGUAACAAGGAUUAGCAGGCAGAAUAAGUGGGAGUUUCCAGACGGAGAGAAAGAGGGGAAAACAGAAACUGAAAAAAAUAAUAACUAAAUGAAGACUUACAGGUAUCUUAUCAGUCAAGAGCUUUCGCACUAAAUCAGCUCUGGUUUUCAGCUUUAGAUCUGAAGCUGACACAUAUGCAGGAUGAAGUACCAUUAGUUCUAUGAUAUCUCCAAGAUAUGGGUUUAAAAAUCCCCCAAGCUUCUCAACAACUGCUUCCAAAGUUAUAAGAAUAGACAGCAAAAUGGAAGUAGAUUCAUCACUUCUGCUUUCUAAAUUGGAACUCACAGAUAUUCCACGAGACUUCCGAAUAACAUUUUCCAUCAUACAAGGAAGCUCAGCCAGAGCCUUUGGUCCAAGGACAUUAACCAAUGUGCCAGUUGUUUUAAGGCAGCUGGAAGAGACAGCCAUGUUGUCUGAACUGAUGCCUUUCGUAACUAAUGCAAGGCACAUGCCAAAGACUGAAUGAUUAGAAUAAAACCUCUGUGCCAGGAUAUCCAGUGUUGAAAGUGCAGCCAGUUUCAAUGACACAUUUGAUUCAUCAAUAGAAUCAUCAACUAUCUGAACAAUUUCUGUACACAUCUUCUGAAAAUAUUCAAGAGCAGUAUCAUCCAAAUGGAGCUCAUAGAUAUUUGAAUUUGGAUCCAGAUCUCUUUUUUCCUUGCACUUUGACUUAACAGAGACAUGGUCCUUAAGUGUUUCACAUAAUAUCUCGAGAGCCUGUUUGCAAGUACAGCUUAUUGGUUAAAUAAUAAGCUCAUUGUUAAGAAUUUAGAACAGUAUAAAAGUGACCAAAAACAACCAACAUUUUGGGAUACACUGUUACAGAUUUGAAUUGUGCAAAAUUUUAGGCAUAAAACACAAACUUGCACCUCGUAAUGGAAGAUAUCUGAGUCCCAAAAAUCCAAAUCCCCAAAUUUAAUAGAAACAGAAAAUUACUGAAGUAGCCACAUUACCUUCUUUCUCACAGUGUUAUCCGCAUUGCCAAGUAAUUUGGUGAUGUAUUCAAAGCAUGUGGAAGGCAUCAUACUCAUUGUAAUUGUCUUCAAUAUAGCAUGCACACAUGCCUUAAAUUCUUUCCAACUUCCAACUGGAAUUCCUAUUUGCUUUCUUCUUGCAUCAACAACUUGUGAGACAAAGACAACCUGCUCUACAAGUUCUCCAAGUUUUCUCUGCAAUAAGCAAAACAAUAUUCAUAUCCAGAUAAUGCUUCUGACUACCAUAAGAAUAAAAUGAGAAUCAGAAAACACAUAGAGUCAGCUAAUUGGUCAGGCAAACGAGUUAGAAAGAUAAUAGAUUUUAAUUUUCCAAGUAUAAGAAUUAAGAAAUUUUACAAAAUAAAAAUAAUAAUAAAAGAUCAUGAAAGUUACAACCAAAUUAAUGAAAUGAAGCAUUCUAAAUUAAAUCAUCCACCUAAAAUAGGCUACUAUCAUGUUACAUGGAUUCCAAGUUGUGAAUCGGAAAAUGCAUGCAAGAUCUAACCCACCAUAAUUGUGUAAAAGGAGUAAUGCUGACAAGAAUUUAUCCUUUCACUGAAUAGUUCAAAAGUGGCUUACAAAGACUAAAAGAAAUGAUCUUCACUCAUGGAUAUAAAAAGCAAAAACCAACCAACUUCAGAGUUAUUGACCUCAAUUGGGUGAAUAAUUGGCUCAACUUGUUCAUAAUUGAGUAAACCUCGAGUUUAAGUAGCUCAAUUAACAAGUAUUCUAAUACUCAACUUUUGAAUGUUAGUGAGACGCAUGUAUAUUCUUAAUUGAGUUCAUUCUUCAUGAUAAUCAAACUAACUAGUGCCCAGCUCGAAGGCAAGGAAAAAGCUUGGUUGACCUUGAGCCUUACAUUCUAUCACUUCGACUCGAUAUACCCCUAUUCAAUCUAUCCACAACUUCUAUUCAAUUAGAUACACAGAUUUUUUGAACGAAUAGCAUAUAGUGUCAAGUAAUUUGUCAAAAAUGAAAAAUGAAAAUAUUUUUCCAUGGUAAAAAAUGAACAGGGUUAGUCAUUAUAUAUGCACAUGCAUGAAAAUCUGGUGAAACACCGAGUUCGGUCUGCAAUAUAUUGGCUAACUAUAAAGGACGAGAAAUUCUAAAAAGCAUAUGGGCUUAUACCUGGAUGCUAUCUGAGUUCUCCCUAGAUUCAAGCUUCAAUACAAAUUCUGGGUCUUGAAAUUUGUAUAAAACAAAAUGCAUGGCAAAGAAGAAUUGCAUAAACACUUCUUGAGUGAGAUCAUUCGGUCUCAUUACUUGAAGAACCUUUAAUAUAGAAGGAAGCCAAACCCGGCACGAGUACUGCCCACAUAUUUGUAUGGCGAAGGCAUACUCCCAGUCUUGGUGUGCAGAAUACAAGAAACUAUCUGAAGAGUAUGUAUCUGUAAGGCAAGAUAGUCCUUUUCUUGAAACUAAUGAACGCAAAAGGAGGACAAACAAUGAAGACAAACUAUCAAUCUCCCCCAAAAUCCUGCAGAAAACGAAGUUAAUUCAAGCAAACACUGAAAAUAACCAACUGAAAUAAUCAAGUUCUAAAUUUAGAUGAUACCUCAAUAAGAAAGCAACAAUCGACAGCCUUCUAUGGUCAGCAAUUUCAGGCAAUAUGUUUACGAAAAUCUGACCAAAGCCAAACUGGAGUGUUAGAAACAACAAAUCCAGAUAUAGAUAAACAAUGAAAAUAUUUAAGAUACAAUUACCUGAAGCAAGUUUUCUGUAUUGUUGGCCUUAGACAGCCAGCAUGGAACAACAGCAGAUAUAAGAUCUUCAAACACAUGUUGAGAAUGGCUAUCAAUCUGUAGAUAGAUGUUCAGAACAGAAUAACUUGUAAAUAAAAAUUCAUUUAAGAAUGCAAAUAAGGUUUCGAAAAAUUUGAAAUAAUUCAUAUUCCAAACAAGGUGAGUUUUAAAUUGAUGGGAUAACAACGAUUUGCAUUCAAGACGUUGUCCAGGAUUUCUUUAAAAGUUAGUAAAGUAUAAUGAGAAAAUUGACUAAUUGGAUACAGUUCAAGACAUAUAAAGCCAAAAGAUAGUUUGAUAAACCUGUGAGACUGCAGAUUCUCCAAUAACCAUAAGUAUAUCCAGUAUGUGCUCCAAUAUCCUAUUAGGAACUAACUUUGCAAUAGUGGAUAACAGGGUAAAGACAUGAUUGCGGGUUACUCCAUCCUUCGUCAAACGAGCACAAUCAACCAGCAGUUUGAUAUCAAUUUUAUCCAUUAUGCCAUCCUGCCAAUGACAUAGGUGUUAUCUAAAAUCAAUAAAGAAAAAAGGAAAUGAAACAAAGGGAACUAGAUGCAGUGUAAUGUUCUACACUUUCAACUGCAGAACAGUAGGCAUACCUUCAGGGAACUACUUUCAUCCAUGAAUGAAGCAAAAAUAUCAUCCAGAAUUAACAAUAAUGUUUUCUGUACAUCAACAAUUACAGUAGACUUCGACUGAGGAACACCAGAAGUUUGUAUCCAACUUCCAUUUUGAGCGAGAACACCAUGUACCCAUUCAUCGGAGAAUGCUUUCCUGAUAAGCUUAAAUAAGGGACCGACAAGGAACUGCCUAAAACAUUUAACAAAAUACAAUUAUUUUGUGGAGGAAUUAGACUUGAUUGGAAAUGGCAGGGCUUCAAUUUUAAACAAAUAUCACAAAAACAAAUCGAUGGAAGUAGAGAAAUAUCAUUUGUAGAAGCAGACCUGUUUGAUAUGUCUUUCUUCAGAAGCAACACAUCAAGAAGGGAGCUAAGAAAAUAGAGAGUCUGUUCUCCUUUAAAAACUAAAUCAUAACCAGGCUUUGGAUUAGCGGCUGGUUUCUUUUUCUUCUUUCCAUCAGCUGAAACAAUUGCGACUGGAUCCUCCUUACAUACAAGAUCAAGCAUCUCACCUACUGUAGACGAAGCAAUCUAUAACAUCCAGAAGAAUGCAGCUGAUUAUCACAGUUGCCUUUAUACAUCAAAAAGAACUCCAAGAGGAACCUAUUGUCUAAUGUAAAAGCUACAGCAUGGGGAUAAAAUUUAUCACACCCUGAUCUUGGUGUCAUGAAAAGUUUCAAAUUACAUGAUAUUUUAACCAAAACAUCUUUAAACAACUAAAAACACAUUCAGGUUCAUUUUGGUCCUUCAUUACUGUACUACUGAUAUAAAUCAUGGUUGCCGUGCAAAACCAAGAACUUAUUGCACGUACAUUGCAUCAAGCAUAGGACAAACUGUAGAAAACUUCUAAAAUCUUUUCCAAACAUAAAUCUGACAGAUAUGCAAAAUUUAGAACUAGAUCAUCCUAUAUUUUUAAACAACUUCAAGAUUAAUAAAAUAUGAACUAAGAGCUUAGAAGAGCAAAUACACUGGCACUAACUAUACAUACUAUUCAAGAAAUAUUUAUAUGAUUAAUCAAAAGAGAAAGGAAAGUGCAAUUGUAAAGGAGGGAGAGAGGAACAAACAGUUAAACGUAGCAACGCAUCUCUGGUUGCACUAUGAAUAUCACUAUUACUGUUGCGAAACAAAAGCACUAGCUGUCGAAACAUUUGACCCUGACAAAACAAAUAAAAGAAAAUUAAUGAAAAACCAUUCACCCAAGAUGAACUUUGCAAUUUAGUAUUGUAUUGAAAUGAUCAAUAAUAGCCAUCAGCCAUUACACAAACAGAUUGAUAAUAAACAUCUACCUCAUGUAAAUUAUAUAGAUAACCAUCCACUCUAUAGAAAUAUAUCAAGUAUCAACCACAACCAUCCGCCCUAAGUAGACACAAUCAACCCAAAGAACAAACGAAGGGCAAGUAUCAUUUUCACAUCAGGGACAAAGACCCAAAACCGUACAGGAUUAGCUACAACUAAUUGCACAAAGAGAUCGAUAAUGAUUGUGUAUGAAAAACUUUUCAAGGAUAAGCAAACAAUCCAAGCUUUAUCCAUCAGUGAUCAGAAUGUACACACACAGCAUUUCCCAAGUUCAGUUUAACAAUCUAAAAUCUGCAGGAACACUUCCACUGGACAUAUAAUACAAUCCCUCAGGCUUGUCUGGUCAUGGCACAAGAACAUAUAUAUUUGUCCUUUUUCCCCCUUUCAACAUCCUAUUUCAAUUCAUUAACUAGGUAAAACAUUGAAAUUUAAAGUAACGCAUCUCAGAAAAGUAAUAGAAGUUGAUAAUAAUAACCUGUGCCUCAUUUGUCAAGCCACUGUAGAAUUGACUGUUUAGCUUUUGUAAAACAGUAAUACAGGAUUCUUUAAUGGCAGGGUCUUCUGGAGACUUAGAAUCCAACUGAAACAAGAAAUAUAAAAGCUUUGGAUUAAGUCCUGAAAUCCUAGUUCAUAGAUACAAGUUGAGAGGAGGUUCAUACUUGCAAUGCCUUGAACACAUGUUCAGAAAACUGUCCACCAAGAGACGAGGGCAUAAUACACAUCUAGGACAAACAGAGGACAAAAUCAUCAUUGAACAGCUAUGAUCAUAAAAUCAUACUAAAAUUUAAUGAUAAAAAAUACAGAGAUGCAUGCCUAUCUUAAAGCCAUAUAAGACAAACCAACUAAAACCUUACCUCCAAAAGCAAGCACAGGAUCAUAAUUUCAGUUUCUGACAACUUGAGGGAUGAGUUUUCCAGUUCAAAAUAGCAUUGACUUCGUUUUCUCAGAAGCAGAGAUAAUAAUGCCUCAAUCUCUUUAACAUGCAGAAUAGCAUUGCCUAAUCCUUUGAGCAAAGAUAAAACCUUUAGCUGCUAACAAGAUCAAACCAAUAAAAAAUUUUCAAGUCAUUAUCACUCGUCACACAUGAAAAUAACAAUAAUCCCUGAAAUAAUAUCACUUAAACAGGAAGGAAAAAUAGGGAACAGCUAAGAGGGCAAACCUUUCCAGAUUCAGAGAGAUUUAGAGCAGAACUUAAUAUGAAAGCCAGAAUUUUCUCCUUUGUAGAUUUAUUAAAUCUGAAAUAGAAUAUUUAAAGAGAAAAAUAUAUUAUUAAAAACAGCAUAGCCUGAUUAUACAAUUUAACACAUGGAAACAAUUAUAUGUUAUGAAUAGCGCAGAACAAUUUAGCUAAAGACAACAUAAAACUCAAUUUCGUGUAUCAUGACAUUAUUCUACCAGAUCUAUUGAACACAAUAGAUGCAAGUACAUGUAGCAAUCGAAGAUUACAUUUACAAUGCAAACUGUUCACUCCACUGGGGGAAAUAAACUAAAGGAAUAUCAUUUUUAGUGAAUAAGUGAAGCCAUUUCAAGUGGUACAAUGACUAGGCUCUAAUUAUUGUAAAUGCCCAGCAAUAAAUUAUAUUAGAGAAGAAACAAAGCAUGCAAAUACCUUUGCUCAAUGUUUGGAGAAACCAAAAUGCUCUCACAAGACGAGCCAAGCAAACAUGUCAAGAAAGAAGGGAGAAAAUUCUUGUCAGAUAAUAUAAGCCUCUUUUGCUGAACCAUCAAGCCCAAAAGUUCAUCAAGAAAAUGGCUCCAAAUUGCAGUAUUUCCUGUUAAUAAUCCAAUUCCAGUUAUAGUUUAAAUAAAAAGGUGAAUAAACAUAACCAUAUGAAACAAAAAUAUCAUCCAUCAUACCAUUUUUCUUGCUGGAGAAGUCCACUUGACACCACAAUUUAUAUAGCUUUUCAAUACAGUCCAUGGCAGCAAUCCUAGUAGCCUGAAAACAGGAUCUCACAUAUUUAUACACAAUGAAGAACUCAAAAGAAAAGGGAGACCAUCAUGAGCUCCUAAGACAAGCCAGCAUUUAAAAAUUUUGAAAACUGGUGAAACCUGAUUGUCACUGGUGAGUGGAAGAAGAAGUGAGGGAAAUUCAGCCAAAAGUUCAAAUGGUAGUCUAUCAUUUAGCUGAGAACAGAGAAAUGAGAAACAAUGAAGGCUCUCUACUUGAACUGCAGCAGGAACUUCUGCAAAAUCAAUAACAGACAUAAGCUUAAGCAACAGUCUCUUCAAAUUCAUUUUACAUUGUAACUUUGCAAGGAUAAAUGCAUGUUACCCUUGAAAACUGAAAAAGAACAAGGGGAAACCAGAAAAACACCUUCUGCUGUAUAAAACCUAGACAGAAAUCGAACAGGUGAAACUUUGCACUUUGUAAGGAAGCCAUGUAGAUGCUUCUCAACAAGCUCUUGAAGGUGCUUCUUGAAUGCAUCCUUCAAACUAGAACCAGCUACAAAGAGGAAGAAAUCCUGAACUCGGGUAAUACCAUUCUCAUUGUCGUCCUAAAGAGAAAAGAAAAGGUCAGGGUGACGCAACAGAACCAGCAAAUCAGCAACAGAAAGCAAGAAAAGUAUCACCAACCAGAAAGAAUUCAGCAUUGACUGCUGAAUCAAGUAACGUCCAGAAUAGGCAUAUAAGAAUAUUCUUAUUUACUGUAUCAACAUCAGCAACAAAAAGCUGAUCUAGAAACUUUUUGCAAUCCCAAUCAAGCAUCUCUUCAUUGAACUGACAAAACAAAAGAAGAAAAUUUGAAUAAUUUGAACAAAAAAGUAAAGAGCAAUUUAACACCAAAUAAUAACAGAAAAAUUGACUUCAACCUCAUGUAGAGAGUUGCCAAGUGUAGACCCAAAAGCUUCCCACUGAGACUUCAGAACCGGAAAGCAAGCAUCAAAAAGUACCAAAAAUUUUCCAUCUAAUAGAUAAAAACAUACAGAACAAACACUUAGUAUAGGUGCAAAAAGCAACAGCAAGGCAAAAGAAAACUUCAGGUAAAUUAUCAUGAGAUAUAUGAAGCAAAGAGUUUAACAAAAUUACAAAGUUUCUUCACUAACAAAUCAAUUUUACAUUAAAUCAGCCACCAAAAGCAAACAUAUUUAUUAGGAUAAAGAAGUAUCAAAAAGUUGCACAUUAAGUUAUCGAUAAUAUGGUAAAACUGAAAUGUUAGCAUAAAAGCAGAAAUCCCAAGACUCAUGCAUUCCACCAAAACAGUAAAGAAACAUACUGUUUAUCAACAUAGAAAAUGACUGCAUCAGAACCAAAAAGAGAAGGGUCUUUGAUGAUUUAAAGUUGUCGCAACUUCUGGUAAGCCAAGGCAUAUACUCAGUAGGUUGCAUCAAGAACUCUUCCGCUAGACUUCUAACAAUUUCCAUAUUAACUGUAUAUACAGUGCCACGCUUCUGCAUUUUCUUCUCAAAUCUGCCAACAGCCUCCGCAUCAACUGAGGAUCCUGACAGUAAUUUCUGCAACUUUUACAAUUUCAAAGUUAUUCAGCACACAUAGAACCUAAUAGGUGAACAAAUAUAAUUAGUAACUGAAAUUUAAAGUGAAAAACAAGUAGACUACAACCUUAGACUUUCAUCUAAAUCAAAUGUUACUGCUACCUCUAAAAUUUUGACAGCUAUUGAUCCCCCAAGGCCAAAAUACAUAGCAAUUUGAUAUAGUAUGAGGCCUUUGCAGGCCAUUAGAGGGAGAUUGUUCCAGUUCCGAAAAUCAAUAUUAAGUCAAGGUAUGACCAAAUAAAACACAAAUCCGAAACUCAAUACCAAUUCAUCAGCCAAAUUAUAUUCUUGUGAUCUUAUCACCAAUGGGUUUUAGGAGGGAUGCUUAACAUACAAUUAAAAGUUGCAGACACAAAAAUGGCAGCCAAUGACACUCUUAUAGCCAAAAGGCCCACGUUUCUUUAUAAAAGGAAGAAGAAAAGAAAGGGAAGACUCACCACUUCCGCCCCAGAUGCAGCUGCAAGUGUCUGGAAAAAUGGCCAUUUUAUUGUCUUGGCCAAAUCCAAAACCUUCAAGCUCAACCUAUGAGUCUGCACACAGGUAAAUUUAUUACAUAUCAAUUAAGAACAGAAGUAUGGCUUAAUAGGUCCCAAUAGGGCACCUUAAGAAAUUAAGUAAUAAAAGCACCUCUGGCAAAAUUAGUAGUAGUGAGAAUAUCAUGGAAGCAACUUCUUUCAAAUAAUCUAUCUGAUCAUGGAAGCUGAGCAUGGCAAUCUUUAGGAAUGAAACAGGAACAUCACAAGACAAAGUAGAGUUAACUGACGAACCUGAAAAUGAAGAGCAUAAAUCAUGAGAAACAAAGCCAUUGCAACUCUGGUGUGCUAAACCCUCACUAUUUCAUAAAUUCAAUUGAACAAAUCCUAGGCAGUGGACAGAAACUAUUACCACUGCUUUUUAUCUAACAUGACCUCAUUUAAUUCACGAGCAAGAAAGAUAAACCUAAGAGGGACUUCACUCAAGAACUUCUGUUACAAGAGUGUCCAAUUUUUAAAUGCCUGAUAAUCUCCUUAGGUCAACCAUAGAGCAUCCACCAUAUACCAAUAUCAGUCAACAAACUCACUCUCUAAUCAAAUAAAACAAAAUCAUUACACAAUGCUAAUCAAGCCCACUGCAGAAUCAGAAGGAAAGUAAGCAUUUUCUCAACUUGUUUAUUUUCUUUUGUUUGGCAACAGAUGUAAAUUGGAAUAAUACAGAAAAACCAAUGAAGAACCUACACUUCUCUGUUUCUCCAGGAAGUUUAGAGGCAGUGGUGGAGACAGUUAAGAUUUCAAAAUUCAACUUACUGACCUAAUGUCAGAAAACUUAGACAUUUCUUAAGCACAUCACGUAAUGCUUCAAGAAGAUCUGAAGGACUAACUACUUCAGUCAAUCCAUCCACAGACAGAGCAGCUUGAACAACUGUUAAAUCAUCAUCAUGAAGCUGGCGCAAUACAGCAUCUUUAAUGACUACAAGCCUCUGCCAACAGAAUCAUGGAACAAACAUCAGUUGAGAAAUGAGAUAACCUAAUGCACCUAAUUUAUAUAGUAAACAUACACAAAAAAAUAUCUUCUUCCAAAAAGAGCCAACUUACUUGCCAACCGAUCUUAAUAAGACUGCUACACCAAUGUCAUACUAAAAGAUAGAACGGGUACAAGGGAGAAAAGUGGGACACUACCAUUUACUUAAGAAAAAGCACAAAAAGGAGAAGAAAAUGUCAUCUUUGAAAAUAGAAAGAAGAAGGAAACACAAAUAAUGCAAAGAAUGAAAGUCGUUUGCUGCAAGAAGGUAUUAAAAAACACCAUAUCCAAAGAAAUUCAGGAGAGUAAAGCAACAACGAAGUAACUUAAAAACAUUAGAAGUAUCGUCCUGAAAAGAAAGAGUGAAUUAUUCAAGCACCAGAGACAACAUUAUCAGAUCAAACUAAAGGCUUGAAGCAGCAAAUAAGUAACAAUGCAGAAACCAAAACUACAUGUAUAAUGCAAAGGAAUUACCUGUGCAUCAAGAGAACUCAUUUUAAGAAUAGCAGAUCGGUUAAGCCCUGAAAAUGUAGCACGUCGAACCUCGGGCUACGUCACAGCACCACAGCAUAAGAAGCCUUGAACGUACAUUCAAAAAGUCCUAAUAAUGUGAUGCUAAAUAAUACCUUAGGAUGGUGUGAUGCAAACCAGAUUUUGGACUCUGAGAAGGCUAUUGAUAAAUCUAAAUUCCCGUCCAAUAUUUUACUCAAAAACUCACACACAGUGUCUUCUUUCUUGGAUUGUACUUUGGCAUCCUAUUAGGAUAAGUAAAGACCAAAAAAAAAACAUAAGACCAAAAGCAUGAAAAAGAUAAAAACAAGCAAAGAUAUGGAGUCAUAGUCAAACUAACCUCUAGGAACUUGUGAACAGCUCCAUGAAAUUGUGAUGGAUAAUUCUUAUUAAUAGUAGCUAAAACAUUCUUGGCCCAGGUUACUGAAAAAUAUUUCACAGAUGAUCAAGAAAUAUGACAUAAUUGGCAUCAGUGGAAAAAGAAAAAAAGUAUGCCUACAAUAGACAUUUAGCCAACGAAGACCAAAGGUAAUAAAAAUAAAGAUAUCAAAGUAAAUAACUAGUACCCUGAGCACCUGUGAAACAAAAUUUUAAGUGAAAGAAAAAAGUUGAUAAAGUAUAAGACACACCUGAUUCAGAAGAUACCAAUUUGCCAUCCCUCUCAGAUAAUUUCAAGCAGGUUAGUAGAAUCUUCGAGACAAUAGGAUCCACUAAAUUCCUCAGAGGAACUGAAUCUAUUACUGAUAUUAAAGCAAGAUGAUAUGAGUCAUCAUAAGAACUGCAAUAAACAAAAAUCAGUUUAGAAGCAGCAAGUAUGCAAAAAAGCAGGACAAGCAGCAAAAACUAAUCAGCUUCACACCUUUGAUCAACCAGAGCUUCCAACAGUAUGGCAAGGAAUCUAUCGAUGUUAAAUUCCUUGGAUAGUUCCAGAAGAACAGCACCAAUAUCCCUGUCAAAGCAUGCAAAAAACCUAGUAAAUUACAAUUUAACCUGGUGACAAAAGACUUGCAGUACUGCAUUAAAUUUCUAAACAAUGUUUAAAAAACAAGGAGUUACUUGAUAUCCCUCAAACUUUCCAAAGCCUUCUUUGGGAAUACAUCAACAGACUGUGACUGCAAAAUUUACACAAACUAAAUUAAGAAAAAUAGAAACUGGAUUGAUAAAAAUAAAACCUAACAUUUAUUGCAGGAUGACUAGAUUCUCAAUUUGAGUGACUCCAACUAAAACCAUUUUGUAAGAAAGGCACAUUGAGCACCUAUUCAAAACGCCCCUUUAAUCAUAUAAAAGGAUCCAUUAAAAGAAAAAAGUAAGUAAUAAGCAUCAUCUCAAGUUAGUAAUUUAACAGAGAUAGAAUGGCUAAAACACCGACCGAAUGAAAAUAUGGAUCAAGCUAAUAUAUUUUUUACAUGUGCAUCAUGAGAAAAUCAACAUGAACUGUUCAAGGUAUGAUACAACAGUUGAAACUUGAAACAUAUAAAUGGUUGAAACUGACACAAAGCUCCCUUGUCAAACAUGUAAACAUGGUAAAAAUAUGGAAAUCAAAUUCACAAAUGAUAUGCAUGUGAACCUUAAACGAAAAAUGCCAAAACCACACCAACAGAAAAUGAUUGAAACUAUUAACUCAUAAAGAACAGGAUUUCAGGAUGAAAUUGUUUUUUGCAAAUUACAUAUUUGGCAGGAGCAGGAUGCUGUUACCUGAACAAGAUUUAUCAAAGCCAUAAGGGCCAACCGAAACCAUUGCAAAUCAGUUGACUCUUUUACAUCUUCCCUAGCAACCUCAGCAACUGUUCGAAUCAAACUAUUUACAAGUUUAGGAGCCAAUGCCACUUUAUUUGCUAGAAAUCCAACAAUCAUCAAAGCACCAGCCUACAUAAAAAUUGUAUAUAAUUCAAUCUAACUACAUCUUCAAAUCAGCAAACUAAAUCUCGUGGGACAAAAACCAUAAAACAAAAUAGAAGGAAUAGUAAAAACAAUUUCCAAAUAAUCACACUUAUGCCUUUAAAAUACCUUGUGAUCAGAACCUCCUUUUGCACCAAAUUGAAGACCAGAAGCUACAAACGGAUGGAUUCUCUUCACAAUGUCACUGUCAAUUGUUGCAACACAACCCAAAACUUCAACAAUAACUGCAGUGCAAAAGCUAACCACUGGUCUUGAUGCCUGAAAUUUCUUUGUCGGAGAUGCCUACAGCAGAUAGUAAUUCAUAUGAGAAUCACCAGGCGAUAGCAACCAAAUUACUAUAUUUUAUACAAACAGUAACUUACAUAGUUGCACAAGGCCUCCAAAACUCCCAUAUCUCGAAUACAUUGUUGCACUAUAACAGACCUAGGAGGCGGUGCACCAGAGGCUUUAACACCAUCCAAAAAUUUCCAUUUACUAUUCCUGUACCAAUCAAGAAAAACAACCCACCAUUUACAAACAACUAUUCGUGAUAACCAAGGGAUGAUAAAAAGAGAAACUCCACAUUUUGCUUACCCUGUGUUGAUUAACUGAACUAUUCGAACAAAUGCAUGCGUGUCAUGGUAUGGAAGCACACAUAAAACCAAAUCCUCAACAUUGUAAACAUGAAUCCUGUAAAUGCCAACGCCAAUCAAUUAAACAUUAUGUACAACAGAAAAAAUAUUAUAAUAAUAACUAAAAAUCAACAUUUAAAAAACAAAACAUUAUCACAAAAGGUGAAAAACUAAAAACAGAACAUUAUCACAGAAGGUGAAAACUAAUACUUACUUGUAUCGACGUAUCAAGUACUCAAGUGUUUUAAGAGAGGCAGAAAGUUGAAGAUGUCCUGAUAGUAACCGCAAAUACGAAUUUAUCGAGGCAUUAAUUUGAUUAUUUUCAUCCACUCCCAUCAAUUCUCUAUCCAAUUCUUUACUCUUGAGAUUGAACAAAUCAAUCUUGCAGUUUCUAAACCUUUCGUCCACGCCUACUAGAAUCUCUAGCCCUAAACACAGCAUGAACCAAUUUUUUUUAACAAAACAUAUCAUAUCAACAACCUUCGUUGAAAGAAAUAAGAAUUACAAAGCGGGAACUAACCUGACAGUGCAAUGUCCAGAAUAGUAUCAAUAUCAAUAUCAGCAGCUUCUUUGGGGUUAAACAAAAUGGAAGGGCGAGUUAAAGGACGCUUUUGAGGUUCAUUCUCAACUUGAAUAAACGUUUUGAUAGCCUGUAGCUGAGAAGCUAUAGAACUCGCCAUUCCUUUCUUGUUUUCCUUUCUUUAACAAUCGAAACGAAAGAGAGAACGAUUUGGGAUUUUUAAGAAUCAAAAAAGAAAGAAAAAAAAAAUGAACUUUCAAACCAAAGAGAAGAAGUAGACUCAAAAACCCUAAGCGCGGCGCCGUUUUCAGGUAUGCUCUGGGGUUUAACCGCCUUCCUGAAAUUCUCUUCUAAAUUUGUGAAGGUUAAAUUCGUCAUUUUAGAGCUGAAGAGAUACUUUUGGUUUUUCUAUUUAGAUUUAAUUGUGUCCAUAUCCCUAUACUCUUCACAUAUUUGAGAUUUAGUCUAAUUAAAAUUGCAAUUUAAAAAGAUUUUAUAAAAUUAUGGUGACUGUGUAUUAUUAUUAAAAUAAAAAUAUUUAAAUCCAACUUAUAAGGAAACUUUUUUUAAAUUUAUAUUGUUUAUUAUUGUUAAAAUAAAUAUAUGACAAUUUAGAAGGAUUUUGUAAAAGUAGGGUGAUUGAGAGCGAAAUUAGGCCUAUCUUCAAUUUUUUCUAAAUCGGCUGAGAAGCUAAUUGGGCCCAAUUGAAAGAUUUGAAGGCCAUUUACUGAAAAGUCCAUUAAACGUGAAAGGCUAUUCAGGCCUACCUACUAUAGAAAUAAAAGACGGGCAAACGUAAACCCACCCAGAAAACCUAUUUUGACUUUAAAAUACCUUUAAAACUAUUAUAAAAUUUAUAUCAAUAAAAUAUAUAAAAGCAUACGAGUUUAGAAUAACUUUUAAAUCAUUAAAGAAUUUACGAAAAAUAUUACAAUUGUCAUAAUUGCACAUUUAGAUAGUUAAUUUUAUCUUAUUUUAAUUUAAAUACAAUUCUAAGCAUAAAAUACGAUAAAUUAAUUAAUAAUGUUUAAUUAAUAAAUGUUUACAUAAAAUUUAGAUUUAAACUGAAUAGAAUUCAUAUUAAUUUAUAAUUAUUAAUUAUAAAAAAGCUUUACCUAAUUACACAUUUAAAUAAUUUAAUUAUUAAUCAUUAAUUACAAUCAUUUUUAAAUUGAAUUUUAAGCUAGAUAGAAUUCUAACCAUUAAAUUCACAAUGUAAUAAUUUAAUGGGUAAACUAUAAAAAUGUCACUAAACUUCAGAGAAUUUUUUCACUGAAUUAUGAGAAAUUAUAUUUUGAUUACUAAAGUUAUCAGCUUAUUACGUUUUCGUCACUCAUCCGUUAAUUAUCAUUACAGCUUUAACGAAAAAGUGAGGUGACACAUUAAUUGAAGGCUUAAUAAUAUGUUAAAUUUUCAUUAACCAUUUUUAUACAUCUAAAAAAAUAUAUUAUGUUAAAUUAUCGUUUAAGUUUAUUUGAUUUUUACUUUUUUGAUAAUUAAGGAAUGGGAUGAGGUUAUUUGGGAUCGAAUUUAAACUCUCAUACCUAUAACAAAUUGUUCUUAUCACUCGUGAAAAUUUAUUAACAAUAUAAAGAUUAAAUUUAUUGUUUUAAUUUUUAUAUGAAUGCAACAACUUUAAUCAAAUUCACCUUCUUCUUUUUUCAUAAAAGAAACCUCCUUACUCAUUUCCUUUUCCUUCCCAUAAAUUUUUUAAAGAAUAUGAGUGGUUUCACCACUAGUAUUACAGAAAUAUAUUAUGACCUUUACUCUUAUUACUUUUAUAUUAAUUUAUUAGUUUAUGGUCAACCUUGAAAUUUUUAAUCUCUUAUAAUUAAUAUAAAAACAAUUAAUUGCAGAAAAAAAAAACUUUAAUGCCUAUGCUUUUCUUUUAUAUUACAUGUUUGAUUAUAUUACUUAAUACAAUUUUAUCCCUAUCAUUUAAAUAUAAAAGUAAUAAUAUAUCUAAAUUUGGAAAAUUUUAAGAGAUGAUAAAUUAUUUGAUGCAGGAUUUUUCACUCUUGCACAGAAGCAAUGGAAGUGGUUGAUGCGGGUAUCAAACUUGCUAACUUCCUAAAAUUUUGUAUAUGUUUAAAAAUUUAAUUAUGUUUACUGUAUUUUUUAGUGGAAACAAGCAGAAAGGAUUUUCCAGUUGCAAAAUAAAUUACUUACUAUUUUCUCACUUGAUUUUUAAUAAGAAAUUGGAUAUUUCUUCGUUAUUCGACUAAUAGUUUAGUUAUGAUUCUAAUUACACGGUAAAAGGUAAUUUUAUUAUACUGCUAAUCCUAAUUUUUAUUUUUAAAAAAAAUUAAAUCUUCUGCAUUCGUAAUCUCUAAAACUGAACAACUUUUAUUUAAAUAAUUUUGUUAAUGAAUGCGAGGAAUCUCUUUGAAUACAUUGUUGUUGACGACUUUAAAUUUAAGAAAAAGAAGAUAAUCACUGUGUCACAUACUGAGACUUUAGCUCUAAUCACAUUCGACCUUAGAUUCAUUUUUUCCGCCAACAAGCCUAAUUUAGCCUUUGAGUUUCGCAUGGGAAAGGCUUGACACAUGUGGAAGUGUUCAUAUUACUCAAAGCUAGCUUGAACAUACAAAAAAAGUUAGGGGAGUCUCUCCUGAAUUAUCCAAUGAUUACAAUUAGUCCUAAUGGACGAUUAAUAUCACAUUUUAGAACCUUCACACCUAACCUUAUUAAAUGUUAUACAAUGGUGAAGAGUUAUAGAGCUUCUGAAACAUUCUACAUGAAUCCGAUCCUUCUUCGGAUUUUUAAAGUGAAUUUUUUAUGUUUGUUGAAUUCCAUACUUGAUGAGGUGUUACUCACAUGCAACGUAAAACUUUCAUGUAUAAGUUAUAAUGUAAAACCCAAGUCUCAACAAAAAUACUUUAAUUUGAUCACGAAAAUUUCAUAAGCUUAGCCCCUACCAGGAAUUGGCUCGCAACAAUGGUCUCGAUUGUCUAAUGCUAGUUUUCUUGUAAACAGAACCACGUGCUAGAUGUUCAAUUUAAUGGCAAAAUUGUCAUGGGAAUCAAAGCUGCAGUCAUGAAGUAAUUAGGAAUUGCUAGUAAAACUAAUUUAGCAAGAGUGACAUACCAACUAAGGAAACUUUCCUAAUAUCCCAAUCAUUGAGCUUUCUACGCACUUUUUCUAGUAUGAACUGUAAAGUGUUUAUUGUAGCACGCCCAUGGAAUAAAUAGCUGUCUACUUACACCCUCAAAUCACCCACUCUCAUGAAACUUAGUAUAUCACUGAUUCUAAUAGUUAACUACUCUUUGAAAUAUAAACUUGAAUCUUGCGACACUGACCUUAUAUCGAGUACAUGACUAACUGUUUUAAGUUCACCUUGUAAAUCAAAUUGUGAAAUCAUUAGACACAUGUAAACUAACUUCACUGGAGUCUAAUUUUCGGACCAAACUUCUUGAUCAAUUAAGUGUCCCAGUCCCUCCAUGCAUAGCACAAAUAACAUAGGGGUAAUGGGUUCCCCUAAUGGAUGCCAUGAAUUGGCCGAAAUGAUUUCAUAGUCUCGCCAUUGUACAGUACCUGAAAAGGAUGCUGUAAGAAUACAACACACGACAAAAACACAGUGAAAAGCAUACAUCAACCAAGGUGUUUUCUAGAAAGUCCCAUCCUACGUUUUUACCAAAUCCAUUUUAAUAACCAUGUAUUGACAUCCUGCCAGCUAUAAAACUGGGUAGAUUUGGUUGCACUAAUUUCGACAUAUGAGGCCGCAAUUGGCAAUGGAUUAACGAUAAUCUUGGUUAUCACCUUGGUUCUUGUUGAUCCAUUCUAACAGUUGAGGAAUUUCCUAAAUUGUUUACCAAGAAAAAAUAUUAUUAAAAUAGUUAGAAAAUUUCUAUAUAAAGAAUCCAGAUGUUUGUUAACUGACUAAUGAUCAUAAGCCUAUUUUGACUUAACCGCUUUCUUACAUCACAGAAAUAAACAGUCAAAGUUAACGACUCCACGGCACUCUCAUUUCUUACUUUUUAUUGUCACUACAAAAAAGAAAUUUCCGCAAAAAUCACAAAUCUUUGAAAAGCUUUUGGAUUUUAAAUUUUCCAAUGGAUUUAUCGAUUUCCAGUCCAUUCCGCGGUGCUUUUCCUGCACCAACUUCAACCUUCAUCCUCAAUCCGAAAUCUCGAUGUUCCCAUUCCUUGAAUUUCUUUAAGCAUCAAAACUCUUACAGCAAAAAUCCGUUUUUUUCCCGCCAAAAAAUACCGAUCAGAGCUCAGGUUUCAGAUCCGGCGGUGGAUGAUGGGUUUGUCAUUGACGAUGUCCCUCACUUGACUGAUUUCCUCCCUGAUUUGCCGGUAUUCACUUCACUUUUCAGCCUUCAUAUUUUAUUUUAUUUUAUUUUUUGCUUUCGUGACUGUUGUUGAUUCUUUUUCCGAGUUUGGAAUUGUUUUAGUUGGAUUAGUGUGGAGAAAAUCAUUCUUGUAAUGAUUAGAAAUUUUGGCUUCUGUUAUUUGGUGUUGAUAAGAAUAAACUGGAAGAGAAAAUAUGGAAAAGAAAAAAACAGUCUAAAUGAACUCUCCUUAUAAAAAAUAAAAAAGAAUUGAGAAGUACUUGAGUUUAAGUGAUUUGGAGUAAAAUUAGAUGAAUGUUAGAGUUAUAAAAUAAUUGAGCUGCUUUGGAAACCAUCAAUGUAAGAACUUGGAAAUUAUUUAAAUAAGAAAAGUAUCAAAAUGAAGAGUCUUUGAUUUCUAAAAAUCUCUCACAUUUGUAGGGACUUAAGAAGUGCAUUGCAAGAGAUGUUGUCACCUUAAAUCUCACUUUGUGAUUCUUCUGACUUCAUUUAUUCAAUUAGUUAUCUCUCAAUGUCACUUCUCUUCACUUCCAUAUGAACUUACAAUUUAUACUGUUGCCCAAUCUGUUGAUAUCCAUGCUGUAUUUCUUCAUCUGAUUUUUUAGGUUUUUGACCGCAUUCAAGUUCUUCCAACUUCUUGGUUUUGUAUUCCUUUUAUACAUAAAUCAUAUCUUUUAGUUGUUUUUUUUUAUUUACUUUUUCUUUCAGUCGUAUCCAAAUCCCUUGCAAAAUAGCCAAGCAUAUGCUAUCGUCAAGUAAGUGCACUUAUUUUUGGUAUAAUUUUCGUAAUAGUUGUGGUCAAUUUCAGUUUCAUGGUCACUAAACUUUAAUCUUCUGUCUUGCCAGGCAAACUUUUGUUCGUCCAGAAGAUGUGGUUGCUCAGAAGGUAGGUAACCAAGACAGAAGAAGAAGAAAAUGAAGAAAAACACAUCCCCAAAGUUGUCCUGAUAAACUUAUUCUAUUUGAUUCAAUCCUACAAUGUCUUAUCUGUUUCCUUUGUCUUGUUUAGAUUGUUGUUCAGAAGGAUAGCUCCCGAGGAGUACAUUUCCGGCGUGCAGGGCCCCGUGAAAAGGUAUGUUUCUUAAGAUGUCAUCAUGCUCUUGACAUGGGUUCAUUAGCCCAUUUAAUGCAUUUUUUAUUGCAGGUAUAUUUCAAAUCAGAGGAAGUGCGUGCUUGUAUAGUAACUUGUGGUGGUUUGUGCCCAGGGAUCAAUACAGUCAUUCGGGAGAUUGUCUGUGGAUUAAACUAUAUGUAUGGUGUUGAUGAUAUACUUGGCAUUCAGGUUAGAUCAUUUGAUAUUACAUUUUCUUCGAUCAUGUGUGGAUUGUUUUUCAUGAACUCGUGUGGUUUUUGCUUAUUCAUUGAAUAUAUCUACUGUUCAUCUUUCUUAUAUUCGUUUAAAAUUUGUGCAUGAACGUAUUUUUUAAAAUCUGAAAUUGUGUUAGCCAUUUUUCUCUUUCAGCAAGAAAGACAAGAUGGUUUUCUAUGGGUAUAGUAUCUCCAUUUGAGCUUAGUUUAAUAGUUUUCAAGUUCAUAUUUUAACUAUUAAUUCCAGAUUGUCUAGGUUCUUACCCAGUUAUUUCAUAUUCAAUUGAUAUUUUACAAAUUCAUGCUAUAGUAUGGCAAUAUGCAACAUGGCAACUAUCAUUCUGAGUUGUUGUUUACUGCUACGAGAAACUAUUCAUGCUAGCAGGACUGCUGCAUGUUUUAUGUUAUUAAUUGAUACAAGGCCCUAAAUACUGGCUCCAUGUCAACUGGAAAAAUAAUUGACUAGUGCAUCUAUUUUCAGCACAUGAUUUUUUUAUUUCACUUGAAAAAUAUUUUAUGGUGGCUCCUUUAAAUGUUCACAUGUUUAAUAGGACUGUUGCUGUGAAAAGAGUUUAAAGAGCUUCUAGUUUUUCUAGAUUCCACAGUACAUUGCGCAGUUCACUUUGUGAUCAUUCGUCUGUUUUUUUUCUUCUUUAUGUAUGUUUCUCGGUUCUCUUAAACUUAAUUCACAUUCUUUUACAUUGAUUGUAUCAAAUUUUAGUUGGUUGCAACAUUGUUUCAUCGUUAUACUGUUGAAAAUUCUAGGGAGGAUAUAGAGGCUUUUACUCUAAAAAUACCUCGACAUUAACACCCAAAGUUGUGAAUGAUAUCCACAAACGUGGGGGCACCUUUCUUCUCACUUCACGAGGAGGUCAUGAUACUCAAAAGAUUGUUGAUAACAUCCAGGACAGGGGAAUCAAUCAGGUAAGCAGUUGCUUUCUUGUCGAUAACAAAGUUCCCUCACUGGUAGGUAGCUUGUCAAAAUCUCUAUGGAUUUCAGGUUUACAUUAUUGGAGGAGAUGGAACCCAGCGAGGGGCAUCUCGGAUUUAUGAGGUAAUAGGUCUUCCAACAUAAGAUCAUUCCUUUUACUUAGGUGUAUCCAUCUUGAUCUUUUUGGAUUUUAUUUUUUCUAUUUCUUACUUUCUGUUGUUUCCUAUGGGCACAUUUUCUUCAAGGAAGUUGAGAAACGUGGUCUUAAGGUAGCAGUUGCUGGCAUACCCAAGACAAUUGAUAAUGAUAUUGCAGUAAGUUCAACCACAAUAUUAUAAUGUUUGAGAGAGUAAAAUAAGGUAGUAUUUUGCAGUGGUCAUAUGACUACCAAAUUUAUUAACUCUACAAAGAAUAUAAAGCAUGCUUUACUUUUCGUAUUUAGACUAGAUCCAUGCACCUAUCAUUUGGGUUUUAGAUAGUCCUAUAUCAAGUGAAUUUUAUAGCUUAUAAAUACUCCCAACUAAGAGGGUACUGUUCCUGGGUAAAAGCAAAUAAAGUGGCCUUCUUUGUAUCUGCAGUUUUUAGAAUGAUUGGAGUGUAAAACAUCUUAAUAAUUAUUCAAUUACGGGGCCUCUUUUUCCAACUGUUGACUGCUAAUUUUUACAUAUUUCUUCUAUUUCUCUUACCAUAUUCUCUUUAUUCUUUAAAGGCCCUUUGCAAGGCCACGAUGGAUUAUAUUUUUCUAAUGCUCUUAUAGAAAUAUGAUUUUCAUAUACAACUUUGAAGGUUGCAAUCUUCUGUUUAAACUGACUGGUUAUAAUUGUGCCUGCCUUAAGGUGAUUGACAAAUCUUUUGGUUUUGAUACUGCUGUUGAAGAAGCUCAGAGGGCCAUUAAUGCUGCACAUGUGGAGGUAGAAAGUGUGGAAAAUGGCAUUGGAAUUGUCAAACUCAUGGGAAGAUACAGCGGUUAGUGUUUUGAACUUUAUAGAAACUACAUGAUAAUUAUGGAGAUAAUGCAUAUUGUGUGUGUGUGUGUGUGUGGUGUGGUGUGGUUGGCAUCCUCUUUAACUAAUACUCAUGCAGGUUUCAUUGCUAUGUUUGCAACCCUGGCAAGUCGCGAUGUGGUAAGGUCUUGGUCCCAUUUUCUAUGCAACUAGCUUCAUAUGAUAAAUACCUCUGAAUUACAUGAAUAUUAGAUGACUAUACCCUUUCUUGUCUUUUUUGUUAUCAUUGUUUAUUUCCCCAUACUUCAAUUUCCCAAGAAUUCAUUCAACUUGAGUAAAGAGUAAAGUGUAAUAUUUUUGUUCAAAUUCUUCAUCUUUGUGUGGUUGAUGUCUAACAAUAUCAUAAUAUUUGACAUGCAACAGGAUUGCUGCUUGAUUCCAGAAUCACCAUUCUAUUUGGAAGGCAAAGGUGGACUCUUUGAGUUUAUUGAAGAGCGACUAAAAGAGAAUGGACAUAUAGUUAUUGUUGCUGCUGAAGGAGCUGGUCAGGAAUAUCUUGCUCAAAGUAUGCAAGGAAUUGAUGAGAAAGAUGCAUCUGGAAACAGGCUUCUCCUUGAUGUUGGUCUCUGGUUAACCCAAAACAUCAAGGUGGGGUGCAUAAUCUCUCUUAUCAGCUUCAGAUUUUUAAUUCAGUAAAUCAUGGUAUCACAGUCUCAACAAUACCUUAAGGAAGAAACUAAGGCUUUUAUUUCUCCUUCCCUUAAGCAACCUUUCUCCAGAAGGUUUUUUAUUGAAACGAGCAUUGAAGUGGGUGCUAGUUGUAAUUAAUAUUCCUUUGUUGGAUUCUGUGUUUAAUUUCAUUUUAUAUAAUCAUAUAUCAAUGCAGGUUUAGAAAUAGAAGCAUCUAUAAUCUAGGAAACCAGAAAAGGAAAAGAUGGUGUUCUUUCUUGCAUUCUGAACUAUAUACCGACAGGAAAAUCUUAGUGCACCACUAGAAUAUUAUGUUGCAUGAAACAUUUUUGUUUGAGUUUAAACUUUACUAUGAACUGGUUCUUGAUUUCUGGUUGUAGUAAUUUUCCUUGAGCUCCAUAACAGAAGGGUUUUAGUGUAUUAACACAACAGCUCGUGGUGUAUAAUUAUAAAUUUUGGAGGAAAUUGUAACUCUAUUAUGUUACCAACGGUCUUUGGUAAUCAACCCUCUUUUUGUUCUUCUCACCUGUGCUUUUAUCAUUUCCCCUUAAUUAUUUACUACUUCAUGCAGGAUCAUUUUACUAAGGAGCGGAAGAUGGCAAUAAAUAUGAAAUACAUUGGUAAGUUCAACAUCAUAUCUUUUUUAUCCCCACUCUUGUCCUUGUGGCUAGUGCAAUUUUAUUUGAUCUGUCAUUUUUAUAGUUAAGAUAAUCCUGGUUAAGAGAUUUGGGUGUUUUGUCAUGCUAAUUUUACUAAAACCGCAAGAAAAUUCUUGGAUAUGCAUAAUCCAUAUUUUGCAAAUAGUUAGGUAAAUGAUGGUUGGUGCUGCAAUUACUUGAUUUGUUAUGCAUUUGAUCAUGUGCUACCCUCCUGAAAUAAGAUGUUUCUGUCUGUUUCAUUAUGCUUGGUACUUUAAAGAAAUCUUGUUCAAAUAUCAUGACCAAACAUGAAAUCAUGAGCCGCAGUUUUACUGCAAACCUCUUGGAAACUUGUUUUUCUCUCUGUGUCAUCUACCAAAAUUUUACUGAAUUAACUGUUAUAAUAAAAGCAGCUGGUUUGAAAUUAUCUACUUGCAUGGACACCAAAUUUCAUAUGAGGCAUCUUUUCAUUUUAAGAACCUUUUCUUGAGUUUCUGAUGUGGAAGUUGGUGGACAAAAUUUGAACUCUCCUCUAGAUCGGAACUGCUUGUUCUUAUUAUUUCAUGUGAUAAAACUAAAAUUAUUUUUAUCUUUCAUCCUCCAGAUCCUACAUACAUGAUACGAGCUAUUCCGAGUAAUGCAUCAGACAAUAUUUACUGCACCCUUCUUGCACAAAGUGCUGUGCAUGGGGCCAUGGCUGGAUAUACAGGGUUCACAGUUGGACCUGUAAACAGCAGACACGCCUAUAUUCCAAUUUCUGUAAGCUUUGAAGUUUUCAAUGGUUUUAACUUUAUUUUGAAAUCUAAUAAUUUUGCUUGACAUCUAAUUGCAUUUAUUCUUUUGAAGUUAAAAUGUUUCUCCAUGAACUAACUUGUUCGAAAUUCAACUAGUUUUUUCCUUACCUUACAAGCAUCAAUCCCCCAAAACUGAAGAUAAUUGGUUGUUGUCACCUCUUUGCAAAUUAACCUAGUUUUUGUACUGUAUUGGAGUUGACGUCUAACUUGGAAUGUCGCUGUAUGGUAUUUCUGUUUCAGAACGUUACUGAAACUCAAAACACCGUGAAGUUGACUGAUAGGAUGUGGGCUAGACUUCUUGCUUCGACAAACCAACCGAGUUUCCUGAACUGUGAUGAAUCAACAGGUGGGAAAGUCUGUAAAGAUACUAUCGACUUGAUCAACAACAUGAAGAUUACAUCUAUUUAGAUUCGAUUGAUAUAUGCUCCGAUGUAAACACAUCAUCAUGGCUUCAUUUCUUACCUCUAAUAAUUUGCAAAACACUUCAACUUCGACGCUUUGAAGUCACCAAGAAGUCACCAUCUGCAUUUAGCUCAUAUUUGGGUUGCUACAUAUUUGUUCUCACUUUGGAUUGUCUCAAGAAUUUGAUAUCAUCAUGACACAUUGCCAACCUAUAUGUAUAUUAUAUUGAACCGGAAAAUUUUGCUUCAAAGUGUAUCAGCAUAGAUAUUUCAGUUACUUCGAUUCCGAUGUUUAUCCAUUUUCUUGAAUCCUUAUGUGUAUCUUUCGUUGCUCCUUUUUUUACUUUGAAAACUAAGUAGGCACAUUUGCAUAUGCCAAGAAGACGUUCUUAAAGUGUAUAUUGUCAAAUAUAUGUUGGAACACCAUAUGUAUUCACAUAACAUGACAUUGAUCGUUAAUUUAUUAUAUUGAUAUGCUUGCUCGAACAACAUGCAUUUGGACCCUGAAACUCUGAUCCUCCCUUGUGGUAUAUUCUCUAAAUAGUAGUGCUUGUUAACUUGUUGCUUAUGUUUAUUGGAAAAAGUAUGUGAUGGGUCUUGGACUUGCGUAAGUCCCUUUUAUUUAAUAGACAUGUCUUUAAGGAUGGAAGUUGUGUUGUUGGCUCAUGAUAAAUGAUAUCUAGGUAUCGUUUAUGGCAAAAUAAUGCUAACCGAGUUGCGAUCCAAUCUAAUCUUAUAGGAAUAGUUUUGUCGGGGUGGGUUUAAUAUUUAAAUUUUAUAAUAAAAUUUAAAAUUAUAUAUGAAUUUUGAUUCAAUUUAUAUUUUAAUACAUCAAUUUGGUUUAGUACUAUUAUAUGCAUGAUUUUUAUUCAGUUGCAUAUUUAAAAUUUUAAUUUUAAUUAAUAGUAUAUGUUCAGAAAAGAACAAAUCACUUUUAUUUAUGUUCACAUUAAUUAACUAUAAUUAUUUGUACGUACAAUGAGUAAAUAUAAAAAAGUGUCAUAUCAAUAACAGUGCUUGUGUUUUGUAAAAACUAAAUCAAAAUCAAAACAUGCUCUAAGAUGUAAUAUCAAAUCAUGUAAAACUUAAAAAGUCAAUCCCAUUCCAAUCAAUAAACAAAAAAGAAAAAAGGAAAAGAAGAGUAUAUUUAUUAAAAAAAAUUGUCAUGAUUUAGCCGUUAAAUUGUACACCUUUUUUCACAUUGAUAUCUAAAUUAUAUGGUGUAAAAAAUUGGUACUUAUAAUAUCUUAUAGAAUUUGGUCCAAAAUUCAAAUUGCAGUAAAAAUAAAAAGAAAUGACCCAAGAUAUUGCAACAAACAUUGAAGGAGCAACAGCAAGAAAAAUGUAUCUAUGCUACUGUCAUUUGCAGAUGUAUCUAUGCUACUUGGGGAAAGCAAGAUAAUGACAGAAAAAAACAUAAAAAAAUACAAUAAGCACAGAAUAGAAAAAUGCCCUCAAUCAGUAUCCAAAAAAGAGAUAGGAAGAACAAAGCACAAGUUGGAACACCAUACCACUCAAUAUUAUGUAAUCAAUACCUAAAUAUAUGAAUAGAAGUCAAACAAGUAGUAAUCACAAUAAAGAUGAGGGAGAAACCAGUAGCAAUAUCAGCGGCUGGCUUCCCAAACCUGAUAACAAAUAAGGCUAGGUAUGAAAUUAUUUUAACUUUUAAGGAUAAAAAGGAAAAAUCAUAGAUAAAAUAUGGUUAUAUUUGUCAAAGGAAAAGGCUUCACGGUUCACUGUAGGUACACUGAAGGCUUUGGCUCUAGUCAAAGCAAAAUAGCAUUUUUGGAGUUUGUAACGCAUCGAGGCUGCGUUGAGACUUCAGUGAAAAUCUAUCCUAAAUGUGCCUUUGUGGAGGCAAUCAGUGAUCCAAAGGAAGUCAAACUUGGAAAAAAAGUCUUCCCAUUAAAGUUUGCCAUGAUUCUCUCACAAAGUGAAAGGGAUCAUAUAUGAAUUAUAAAUUUUUAAAGGAAUUAAUAUGUAAUUUUGUCAUUAUAUUAAUUUAUAGUUUAUCAUUAUAUCUGAAUUUGAUUUUAGUCUUCAAAUACCAACAAAAAAGUUUCAACUACUCUAAAAAUAAAUAUUAUCUGAUCCAAUUCAAACAAUAUUGUUGUCCCCUUUCUUCCUACUCAAUUUAGCAUAUUAAUUAAAACAUAAUUUACUAUUACCAAUGUUUUCUUAAACCCGAUGUCUCGUAUCAAAUUUAAAUUAUCUUAAAUAGUAACUCCGCAUGAAUCACUAGACAUAUCUUUAAAUUUUGAUAAUAGGUAAAAUAAUAUAUAUAUAUAGAUAAAUUGAAUUAUAAAAAGAUGCACAUGGUUUUGACUUUUGAGUCUAGUAGUCCCCAUCCAGCUAUUCUAUUAUUACAAUAUGAGAGCAAGCUGGGAAAUCUAAAGAAUUGAAAAUGGAUACGGCAGGUUGAAAUUUAUGAUAAUGAGAUCGUAUGAAUAAAGGAUAAUGAGAUCAUAUGAAUAAAGGGUUGAUGAUAAUAAUAUUAUCCCUCUUCUCUUAUAUCUUUAUAAGUCGGCUAUUUAUUAGUCUGGUUUUUUGGAAUUUUCUCUCUCUGCAAGUUGCUGUAAUGUGGGCGUUUGUUAGUACAUCUCCAUCACUCGCAACUGGUUACACUAUUAUCUAUUAAUUAUGUGUUUAUAUUUACACAUUUCCAUCCAAGAGUAGUAAGCAAUAUCAAUUUUGCGAUUAUCUACACACGAUGUUAUGAUAUAGCACCUAAAGUGGUGAAGUAAUGGCUAACUUUGCACUUAGGUCACCAAUAACUCAGUAUAAUAGUAGCUAACACCACUUUACAUAUAAUAAUAAUUAUUCUCAACAACCUUUUAAUCCAAUGAUAAGAACAAAGCAUUAUAUUGUAAGUACGAGCGUUUUAUUUCGAUCUUAAACAAUUUCAUUCUCCUCCCCAAUUAUAAAAUAUAUAUAUAUAUUAUAAAAUACCAAAAAAAUGACUUACGAGCCUUAAUAAGAACUUACUUUAUAACUCAAUAAACUAUUUAUUAAAGAGCUUCGUUUAUUUAAACCCUUCAACUUAUACAUUUUUUAGCAAAAUGAGAUUAAAUCCCAACAUUGCAAACGACUAAUAAAUACAAUAUUAACCAUUAAGUAUUCACCAUUCAAAUUUAUUUUACUUUUAUGAAUAACGAAAUGUCUAUUAUUCGAAACUAUUAGGAAAAAGAAGAAGUAGUAGAUAAUAGAUUUGGAUAUUCAAAUUCAAAAUAGUUUAUUUGAACUUGAAUAUCCAAAUCUAUUAUCUACUAUUUUUUUUCCUAACCAUCGGACGACUUUGGAGAGCCUCUGUGCAUUGCCAAUGGCUUCACGCUAUCGGGUUGGCUCUCCUGCUCCCACUUCUCAUAGGCGGUGGCACUUUCUCAAGUCCUUUUGGACUCCUCUACAAUGACUUCUUUUGUCCCUCUUUGAACUCCAAUGAUCUUAGGAAUUUUUUUAAAAAUCAAAAUUAACUUAAUUCAAUUUGAAUCAACUUAAAAUUAAUUCAACCUAUUGUUUAUAUAGUUGAUAAGUUUGUGCGUGUAAGUAUUUCUUUUGAUCAAUUGAUAUUGAUAUUAUUAUAAUAUAAAAAAAAUAUAAAUAUAAACAUGCUAAAGUACAUAUAUUUUUCAUUUAAAAAUUAAAAAAAAAAUAUUAUUAUUAAUUUUAAACGUUAUAUAAGAAAAACCCACCUCUUCUAUGAGAAAAUUCGUACAUGUGCAAAAUAUAGUCGAAAUAAUAUCUAGACUUUAGCUAAUCCCUUUUCCAUUAGUUGAAAAUAACAUAAACUUAGAAAAUGAUUUUGCACUAAAAUUUCUACUUAUUCAAACCACAAUUUUUUACUCAUUCAUAGCACGCACUAACAAAAGAAAAAUCAAAAAGAGAUAUUUUAAAAUUUUAGAAUUAAUAAAUUAAAUAAAUUAUUUUUUAGAAUUAUAUUUGAUAUAUUUACAAUUUAUACUUUUAUCUACAAUAAAAAAAAUUGAAGAAUAAUAUUACAUCAUAAAAAUAAAGUGAUAAAUAUACGUUACAUUUCUAAUGAAAGAACGUAAGUUAAAAUUUUAUAAACAAUAUUGUUUGAAGCGACAACUAUGAACUUCAUAAAUCAUAAAACAGACACGAAAAUUAUAAUUUUUUUUAAUAUUUUUAAUUUAUCAUCUAUUUUAACUUCCAUAACAUAUUUUAUAGUUUAAUUAUCAUGUAUAAAUCUCCAUAUGCUUGUAAUUAUAUUAUAAUUAUAGAAAACUGAUGUAGAAAAUAUCAUAAAUAUCUUUGGGAAGCAUAUAUGAGCCUUAUUGUAUAAACAAAACAUAGUCCAAAUAAUAUCUAGACUCUAAGCAUUACUCUUUUCCAUUGUUGAAAAUGAAUUUCCACCCAAAUUCCUACAUAUAUCAUCACACCUUUUUCUUUUCAUUGAUAGCACUUAAAAAAGAAAAGAAAAAAAAAUAAAAAGGAGAUAUUUUAAAAUUAAUGAAUUUUUUUUUUGUAUAUUCUAUCAAAAAAUUGAAUAAUUAUAUAUAUCUUAAAAUAAUGUAGUCAUUUAAAUCCAUUUUUAAUCAUUUAGUAUUUUUACUUUUAUUUAUAGAAAUUUAGUCCCUUUACUUUUCAGAUUUCAAAAUUCAGGUCCAAUUGUUGAGGGUACUAAAUUCCUGUACUUGUAUUUAACAAUUAAACCUAGAUUUUGAAAUAUGAAAAAAUAGUGGGACUAAAUUUCAAGUUUGUGAAGAGUAUAGGGACUUAUGGCAUAUUUUAACCUUUUUCUUAAUUCAAUAAAAUUAAUGUAUUAUUUUUUAAAAAUAUCUAAAAUAAAAUCUAUGUAAUUAAUUCUUAAAUGGGAUAAAUAUUAAAAAUAUACGCAAAUUUUGAUGCAAUGUGUAAUGUUUUACAUGAAUUCUAAUUUUCUGCGAUUUUAUACAUAAAUUUUUAAUUUGAUUAAAUUUUCACAAAUCACUAACAACAUUAUCGAAUUAGCACCAUUUUACGUUGAUACAUUGCAUACACAAACAAGUAUAUUAAUUCAAUAUGAAAAUAAAUGUAUGCAUUUGUUUUUAUAAAUGUGAAUAAUUGAAUUAAAAUCAAAGUUUUGUAUAUACAUAUGAAUCACAAUUCAUGUUUUAUGCGUAUAAUUACACUAAAUCAAAGUUAAUGUAUCGAAUUCUACAAUAUUAAACUAAAGUUCAUAUAUGAAUUUGAUAUUUAUAAAAAAAACACACACACAGACCAACAUUGUGCCAUUUUCCACUCCACAAAAACUUCAAAUAUUGCAACUUUAUAUACAAGUCAUUGUACAAUAAGUUGUUGAAUUCUUACAUUUUCUUCUAAAAAAGAAACAUAACUCAAUAGGUAACAUUUUUUUAUUUUUUUAUUUAUUUAUCAGGUUAUUUACUAAAGUGAGCUGAAUAAUUAAUUCUUCGCAUUCUGUAGGUUUUCCGCAUUCUGUAAGUCCAUUAAAGAGUAAAUGUUGGCCAUAAAUUUUAAAGUUGCUUCAUUUUUAAGGCGAAAAUUAAACUCUUAAUCACUGAUUAAAGUAAGAGAGACCCUUACCAUCUCACUUAACUCCCGUGAUUUUUAUUAACUCCCGUAAUUUCUAUUUGGUAAUAUUGAUUACUUAUGUACAUAUUAUUAUAAAAUACAUUUAAAUAUGAUGUGGUUUGGGCAUUUAGUACAUUAUCUAACAUGUCACCAUAAAUGUUUUCUAGUCAAGAGAGACAGUCCAUUCCGAUCAUCAUCAUCAAGCUCACCCUCUUCUUCCUUCACCUCCCAUGCCAUUUCGCUACUUCCCGGCGAUGUGACGUCACUUUCCGGCAACCAAACUCUCUUUUCUCUCCUCCUUUUCCUCCCGGUAGUAACCGCCGGUGGCUGGCUUCCCUCUCCGGCUUCAAGUGGAAAAUUCAAUAUUGCUUUCUGACCCCUCAUUUUAAACGCAGCACAAUCAUAAGCCUUAGCAGCACCGACAUCACUAUCGUAAGUCCCUAACCAUACCCGAAUCCCUUUCCGGUUCGGGUCACGGAUCUCCGCCGCAAACUUUCCCCAUGGCCUUCUUCGUACACCUCUAUAAUGCCUUUUCUCUUCACAGAGUGGCCCCUUUGUUAUCGGCCCUGGUUCUACACCAUGGGUGAAGAUUUCAGGGAGUUGAUGGCUUUGGGGUUGAAGGUGAGAAAGGUCAAAAUCGAGGGUGUUUAUGAAAGCAUCGGGGGUGGCAACGUCACCGAGAAGGUGUUGUCGAAUGAACUCGAGAGUUGUUGAUUCUUCAAAGGUAGCCGCCAUUGUUAAAGUUUACAAGGAAUUUGUAUAUGAUGAAAUUGGAUAUGAAGUUGAUAUGGGGGAGUGAGUGAGGAUCUAUUUAUACAGUGAAGAUCAAAAUCUCCCUUUUCCAUCGCCAUGGAAAUUGACAGCUUUUUCAAGUGUGGGACUCACCUUGGGGUGAAAAAUAUCCUUUGGAUCCAUGUAUGCAUACUACGAUAUGAGAGCACCUACAUCAUAUUUAUAAAUAAAUAAUUUCAAUUUAUCUAAGUUUAUUCAUAGAUAAGUAUACAUACGUAAAAUUAGAGGUUAAUGCAAUGGUAAAAUAUAUUUUGAUAUUUUAAAAUUUAAAAUUUAAUUAUGAUUUCUUUAAAAAUAAAUAUUUAUAUUUUAAUCCUUAAUAAAUUAUAAAAUUUUACAUUAAUAUAAUGAUAAAAUUAUCUUUUUCGCUCUCUUAAAUAUAAAAUUCAAAUUCCACGUCUCCAAAAACAAAUUCUGGCUUCCGACUUGUCGAAAUCGAAACGUUGAAAUAUUAAUUAAACAAAGUCAAGGAGGAGUUGGAGUAUAUACAUAAAUAAAAAUCCCAACCCUGGCAUUGCCCGUUGCUUUAUCUCUCAGUGUUUUGGUUUGCCCAUAGUAGCUUGGAACUGUUUCUGCACACGGUUUUAACACUAAGUACUAUGUGCUGGAAAUUAAGGGAUGAUCUUAUCCUUUGGCAAUUAAAGCAGCCCAGAAAUGGGGUCCUUUUAAUAGGGAGUUCUUCAAGUUGACUCUGGAGGCAGCAACAGAAGCUAAAAAGAUUGUCCAUGUUAUAUAUAUAUAUGUCCUGAGGUUGCUGGGACCUCCCAAGUUGCUCAAGCCAUAUCCAUAUAUAUGUUUGGCAAAUAAGGAGCUAUGGUGUAAAUUGAGGGAGUGGACAUGCAACAUUUUAAGAGACAAAUCACUUUGCAACUGGAGUGGCUACUUGGAGGGAUCCACACCCCAAUUAAUCCUCUUGUCAUUUUAUUUGACAGCUUCAUUAUGAAUUGUGUGUGUGUAAGAUGACCGGAUUCGAAGCUAGCUAUUUCAAGUUGUUUCUAAUUUGCUAACUUACAUCCCUAGGGACAAAAAGUACUUGUUCUACCACUUGCUAAGUAGACCCCUACCCCAUAAUCAAAUCCAUGCAUGCAUCACUUUGCCAUGUUACUAGAAAACACUUUGUAAAAUGUGUUGCAUAUGAUUUUUGGAGAAAAGUAAUAAGUUCGGUAAUUGAUUUAACAGGUUUCAAGUUACCAAUAUAAUUUUUUUUGUUUUUGAGGUGGCUUGAUCAGAUCGCUAUAGUCUUUUCAUAUUUGUCUUCUAACCAUAGUUGUUGGUUUAAAAAAGACUCCACGAGAUUUCACUAUCAUAAAAUUGCACCUUAGACAUUAACGAAAAUUAGAGAUAGUCUCAUGCAAGUAAAGUUAUACUUUAUUCUUAAUAACCAAAUAAAGUAGCUUAAGAGAAAAUUCAAGUUCGAACCUAGAAAUAAUAUUGUUGGGAAGAGAUAUCACAAAUCUUAAAAAAAUUAAUCUUUAUGGACUUAAAAUGGGCAUGAAAGAUACCCUAAUUAUACCUAAAAAAAAAUCCAUCUCAAGUUGUAAACUAUGAGCUUCCAAUUGCUCAAAAACAACAAGAAAUAAAUUUAAAUCUAAAAUAAAUUGUACUCAAAAUAUUUAAAUUUGAAAACUAAAAUAAAUAGUCUAUUGAAUCAUGGGUGGAAUAGCAAACCACUUAUGUUUAAGUAUUUAGUUGACAUCAUUGGACAACACUUAGUUCUUAUAAAAAAAAUUAUUCGGUUCUUCCAAUUCUAAAUUAAUAUUCAAAUAAUUAUGGGAUAAAUAUCAAAAUUAUAUACGAACUUUGAUGUAUAAUUAACAUGGACUUUAAUUUUGUAUAAUUAUACACAUCAAACUUUGAUUUCAGUUCAAAUGUGUACAUUCGAUUUUGAUUUAAUUAUACACAUUAUAAAUAUGAAUACAUGCAACUUAUCUUUAUAUUAGAUAAGUAUAAUUAUUUACGCAUAUAAUAUGUGAACACAAAAUGGUAUUAUAUCAACAGUGAUAUUAAUAAUUUAUGAAAAUUAAAUCAAAUAAGAAAAUAACAAUAUCAAAAUUUACACAUAACAUUUUAUAUCAAACCAAAAUUCGCGUAUAAUUUUAAAGAUUUAUGUCAAUAAUUAUAUUAAAAACUUUAUUUAAGAUGGAGACUUUUCUUCUAUCAAGAGUUGGAGGCAAGUCUUCUAGCAUUGGAAUGUAAAUAGAUUGUAACAAAUUCAAUUUUAAUUAUAUUUUAGACUAAACAUCUUUAUCUUAUAUUAACAAAAUUAUUACUCAUCACGGAACAAAUAUUAAUAGUAAUAAUCUCACCUAUUUUCUUAAAUUUUAUUAAAUGCAAUUGCGUGAUGUAUUCGAUAAACUUUCAUAUCCCAACUUGUAAUUAUAAAAUAUUCUUUAAAAAUCUUCAUUUGGGUUUAUUUUUAAUAUGAAAACUAAAUUGAUUUUUUUAUAAAAUCCCAUUCUUACGUUAUCAUAUAUAGAUUAUAUUAUAGUUGCUUUCAAAUAUAUAUACAUAUAUAUAAUUAUAAUUUGAUUAAAUUUUCAUAAAAUAUUAAUAAAUUAUUGAAUUACAUUGGUAUAUUGAAUACGCAAAAAAUUAUAUUAAUUCAAUAUGAAAAUAAAUAUAUGUAUUUAUUUUUUUAUAUGUGUAUAAUUGGAUUAAAAUCAAAUAUAAAAACUAAAAUUCAAGUUUCAUAUAUAUAAUUACACCAGAUCAAAAUUUAUAUAUCAAAUUAGUAACCAUGCAAAAAUUUAUAUUUAAUUAAUAUAUUUGGUUCAAAUAAUUAAAAAAAUUAUUAACAAAAACCCCCUUACAUAAAUCUUAAUUGAUUAAUCAUAACAAAGAUUUUGAUUUUGAUUUUCUGUAAAAAUAAAAUAAUAAUUUCAUUAAAUAAACAAAUCAAGAAACAAAUACAAUUUUAAUUAAAUAAAAAACCUUAGGCUUUGGCAUUCUCUAGUUUAUAUACACUAAUAAUACUCAUACUAAUCCAAAACACACACCUCUUCAUUAAUCCAUUUCUUGACGGCCGUUAACUUUUUUCCGUUUAUAGUAGAUGAUUCAAGCCGUCACGUCAACCAACCUUUCCUUAUUUAGUAAACGACACCACCAUCUUUACAUAACGGCGAGUCCUGAAAUAGAAUAACCGAACGGAGAUAAAGGUGAUAAUGGAGGAAUACUAAAUAUUCCCUUCAUAUCUUCACUAUCCCAAAACCCUUUCCAAUUUGACGGCGUUAAACAUACUCCCGUCGUCGUUACGUUUUCCGUUAUCUCUUCCUUUUUCACUACUUUCCUCUCUUGUUCUUCUUCUUCUCUUUUUCUUUUAUUCGAGGGUUGGGAUUCAGUUGAGUUCGAGUUUCCGAUUUCGAGAGGGAAAUUCAAAAUUGCUUUACUUCCACGUAGCUUAAAAGCAGCUCUAUCAUAAGCUUUAGCGGCUUCGAUAGCGGUUUCGAAAGUUCCGAGCCAAAUUCUAGAACCUUUUCGAUUAGGGUCUCUAAUUUCGGCUGCGAACUUUCCCCAUGGUCGUCUUCUUACACCCCUGUAAUGCCUUUUCUCGUCAUGUUCCUCGAUGGCUUUCGUGGCGGUGGAGGUUAUUUCAACUUUCGAUGGUGGAAUUGUGACGUUAAUAGAAGGACGACGUUGGCUUAGGGUGGAUUGUUUAUGAAACUGGGGUGUUGGAGGAGGUGAAAGAAAGGUUUCCAUUGAAGCAAAAUCAUUAAGGUGUUGAUUUAUGAGUUCUAAAGCAGAUGAUGUUUCUCCGAAAGAAGCCAUUCUUGGGAAGCUAAAAUUAAUAAAAUGGAAGUGAAGUUGGAGGAGAAGGUGAUGGAUUUGAGUGGAAAAGAGAGUGUGUGGUGGGUUUGUAUAUAAAGGGGAAGAAGAUACAUGGAGAUGGAAAUUAAGAGAUUUUCAUAGGAGGUUUCCAGGAUAGACACAGGAAGUAUCCUAUACUUUUAGCCAUGGGUCCAAACUGGAGGUUCAAUAACAUCAUCCAAUUUGGCAUUUUCCUCUACACUCACUAUUUUAGUAAUUUCCACCACCCCUCGCACGUCAUUUUUAGAUAGAGAUUCAAUUUUUAUUAUUUUUUAAAAAUCUAAAAAUUAUUUAUUUUGUUUUUAAUUUAAUAGAUUAGCAUGUUGAACUAAUCGAAUUAACGAAAUUUUUUAAUACUUUAACAGUUAAUUAAAUCAAAUUUUUUAAAAAAUUAAUUAAAUUGAAAUAUUUUAAUUAAUUCAAUGAAAAACCGGAAUUUAUAUAUAUUGUUAAAAUAAGUAUAAAAUAUAUAAAAAUAAAUAAAUUGAUAAUAUUCAUUUGAUCAAAUUAACCGAAUUAAAAUUACAUAUAAUUUGUAUUAUUAAAUAUUAAGUUCGGUUAUUUACUCAAUUUUAAACCAAAUUAACCAACCUCUGACUGAAUUAGAUCGAUUCGGUCAAUUAAUUCGAUUUUAACCGAAAUUUGUACACCCAACCAAUAGUUGGCAAUUCUACUUUUUCUUUUUAAAUUAUCAUUAUGUAAAUUAACAAAAACAAAUUAUUAUAAUUCUAUUGACAUCGAUAUUUUUAUUAAUCUUUAUAUUUAAGGAUAAAAGAAUUAAAAAUUAUUAUAAAUUUAAAAAUAAAAUUAAAUUCAUCAGGGUUUUACUUGGAUUAGAAUAAGAUUAAACUAGAAAACAAGAAAUAAGGAUAAAAUCUUGGUAAUGAUCGCAAAACUUUUACAAAACAUAAAGAGUCUUUGGGAAUAAUCAAAAGUAAGUGUAUAAUGAAACCAUAUGUCAUGUUUUACCGAUAGUGACAUACUGAUUUUUAUUUUUAUAAAAUUUAAAUUUAUUUAUUAUUAGUAAAGUAAUUUAAUUAUAUUAUCUGGCGGCUGAUAUCUGAGUUUAGAAAUUUCAAAAAUUAAAAUAAAUACUGUAUUCGUAUUCAUAUAUAUAUAUGAGUUAAUUAAAUAUUAAAAUUUACUAAAUAUAUUAAUUUAAUAAUUUUAAAAAAUAUAUAAAAUAUAUUAUAUGCAUAAAAGUAAAAACGAAAAUUGAGAUGUUGUGAGCAAGAAUGAUUUAUCUUUAGCUAUCAAGUAGAAACGUGAGGAUUUCAAAUACUUGGAUUGAGUGUUAGCACGUGCCGUGGACUUUCAAAAGCUGUCGGAAUGGUUGCAAAAUUAUGACUUUGCCAAAGCAAUGUUGAGAGUUUUGCCUACGCAAACUUUUUGACCAUUCCAAAACCAAAGCUAUUACCAUUUUCAAUGUUUGUAGAAUUUUAAUUACCACGUUUCUAAAUGUAACAAUAAUAAUUUAUAAACCACUAGUAAGGGUUUAGAAUGAUGGAUAAAAAACAUUUAUGAGACAAAGACAAUCACUUCCUAUGCAUAGAUGGACACUUGAUACAAAUCAUCUUGUGUCCCCUACAAUGUAUCAUGUGUAAAGGAGGGGAACCACAAUGCAACUCUUGCUUGACUUUUAAUGCAUAUUAAUUUUUAUAAAAGGUCCAGAAUUCUUGUUGACUUAAGUAUUGAAGAACAUCUCGAAGUUUAUACUCUAGUACUUCUUAACUUAUCCUCUUCUAAAACUUCUUUUUAACAUUAAGAUUUUAAGAACAUUUUCCCUUAAGUAAAACUUUCUCAAGCAUUCUCUCAACAACCAAGCCUUUCUUCCUCGUAAAAUUAGAGACAAAGAUCACCUUCAUCACAACCUUUGUAGAGAAGAUCAAUGGAGAAAGUUGAACAAGCAACAUCUUUUAUUUCUCAAGAAGCAAUUGAAAUCCAUUCUAUUUAAUAACAUUAUAUAUACCUAAUUUUGGCUAUUAACAUUUUAUCUCUUCUUACAAAUAAAUAAUCUUAAUAUUUUGAUUAAUAAUUAUCGUAUUGUGUUUCAAGAGAUGUUCCGGAAAAAAUAUUUCACAUUAUACCAUUUCAAGAACAAUCAUAAUGCCAUUUGAAAGUACAUAAUUAAGACAAUUUUAAGGAGCUUUACUCGAUCAUACUAGUGAAAGAUUCAAAAGUCUUACCCUGCCUAAAGACUUGUUUCAUUGCUUUGGCAACCAGUUGAGAAAAGCACUAUUUGCUCAUCAUAAGAACUUGUCAAGGGAAGAUAUUUUGUAAACAAAUUAUUUUUUUAUUUAGUUUAUAAAUAAGAUUUAAAGGGGAAAGCCUGAGUGGAAGAGUGAAUCUAAUUGAAUGUGUAGAAAUGAGAUUGUAACUAAGUGAGCUAAACUUAAUGACAUCUUGUACUAUUCAUUCAUAGUGGAUUACUCUGUGAGUAAGGCUUGAUAGACAUAUAAAGGGAUUUCCAACCGUGUAACCAAAUCCCAUGGGCAUUGUUGUUACUCUCUUUUCACAAUUGUUUCUUUAAUCUUGAUUCACAACACAAUUGACAAACAACUCAACACUAUCAAAUAACAUAUGGCUCUAUAUUUUGGUGGGUACACUAUUAAUGAAAGAUUUGUUAGUUAAUAAAUUGUUAACCAAAACCGAAAUUUAAAAAAAUAUAUUUUUUAUGUCAUAGAAUUUAACUUUUAUGUUACGUUUAGUUGGAGUAUUAUUUUUUAUGUAUGUUUUAGUAUAUGAGUUGGCACAAAACUAAUUCAAUUGAUAAUAUUUAGCCACUCCAUGAGUUUUUUUUAGCGGAGAGAAGGAAAAAAUUUCACUUAUUUUAAAGAUGUCUUAUUUUUACAAUACUUUUUUACUCAUAUUUCUAAUUUUAUGUUUAAAUUCACACUAACUAUUUUUAUUUUAUUUUAUGUCUAACUAUUGUAAUACACAAGUAAUAAAAAAACUUUUUCCUUCUAUUAUUAUAAUAAUAAUCAAACAAGUAAUUACUCUCAUAAUUUUACAUUAAAAGUCGUACUAUAGUGAAAUGUCUAUUGUAAUUAACUAAUCAUUAUAUUCAGUACAAAUUUAAUAUUCUUUUUACACAAUGCUUAAAACUUAUUAUAAUCUCUCCUCAAAUCGUAAAUAAGAGAAUAAUAUGUAUCAACGCACUUGAACAUAAUCAACUAUACAAAUUUAAUUUAACUUUUGAAGAUAAAACUUUUUUUAACUCAGAAUUAUUAUUGUUUUAAAUUGUUUAAUCAUAUUUGAAAAACUUUGGAUGUAAUCAUUUUUAAAUAUAUUUUUAUAACAUCUAAUUAAUUAAUAUAUUUAACAUAAUAGAAACUUAAAAGGCUUAAAUUUAGUACUUGAAUUUGAUUUUUUUUAAUUCAAUAUAUGGAUUUGACACUUUUUUCUAAUUUAAUAUUUAAUAUUUUUUAUCCGAUUUGGUGCUUGAACUUAUUUAAUAUCAUACAAAUUACUCCAAAUUGCUAAUCAUGCUAAUUUUUAUAUGAGGUAGCAAAAAAAAUCAAUGCAUGCUUGUCAUGUGGCAAAUGACAUUGUGUUUCUUUUUUAUGCAUUUUAAAUGUUCAAUUACAUUUAAUUUAAUUAAUAUAUUUUAUUUUUAUUUUGGGUUUUAAAAUUUAUUUUAUUCAAUAUUAAUUUCUUGAGUAUGGCCCAAAUGCAUAACUUUUUAACAAGAAUGUUCUCCAAUACUGGAUAUAUUUUUAUAGUAUAAUAAGAAUUUUUUAACACCGUCAAUGUUUUGAAGUAAUUUGUAUAUCAUUUAAUAAAUUUGAGUAUCAAAUUAAAAAAAAAUAUCAAAUCUAAAUACCAAAUUGAAAAAAAAAUAAAUACUAAGUUAGAAAAAAUAUCAAAUAUCAUUUAAGGGAAUCUUAAAAUGUUUGGGGAAAAAAACUCACGGUAUAUAAAUGCGAAAUUAUGAAGGGAGUCGCAUUGAAGAUUGUGGGUCAAUUGACCCCAAAAUAACUAUAAAAAAGAGGAUUGUUAUUUUGUUUGGAAUAAAUUUAAAUUUUAUAUAAGAUUAUUUUUUAUUCAUCAGAUAAUUUAAGAAUAUUGAUUUUGAUUAAUAUAAAUUGUUAAAUACAUUAUGAUUGAUUGUUUUUAUAAUUUUAAAUUUUUAAAUAUUGAAAAAUAUAUUUUUAAUAUUGACAAAGAUAAAAUAAUUCAACAGGAAAAUAUUAUGAAUAAUUGUAAAAAGUUAUAAUUAUUGAAAUUCAUUUAAAGGAUAUUUUAUUUUAAUUACUAUUCUAAUAGUUUGUAAUAAUUUUAAAUUUAAUCAUUUUAUACAUUAACUUAUCAUAUGUUAAUAUUAUGUAGUAAUUUGAAUGAUUUUCUAAAACGUUUGGGUUGAAGACUUGACUAUUAAAUCAACAUUUUGUACCAUGCAUUGAAUCCCCAUACUAUUAGUUAAUAGUCUAGUCAUCGUCAACUAGUCAACUCAUUGACAUUUACUUAUAGCUGUCCAUUGAAGCAACAUCCCAUUAAUUCUUUUAUAAUUGAUUAAAUUUUACUAUUAUGCAUAAAUUAUAUUAAUUUUUUUAAAAAAAUAAAAUUUUAAAAAAUUCAAGAAAGGAAAGGAAUUUUAUUGAAAAGGGUAACUAUAAAAUUCAAAAGAUCACGACGUUGGCCUACCCCUCCCUACGCCCCCAACAACUAGUUAGGAAUAUUCUUUUUACAAGGGAUUAAUUUUAUGUUAAAUUGUAAAAUAUCUGAAUUAAAAAUAUUAUGUCAUCGUUUUUAACUAGAAGUAUUCAUACGUUAGGUCGGUCCAAAUAUGAAUCUAAGGAUGUUGGUAAGAGUUUGGUCUCUUAAAAUAGAAAAUUAUUAUUUAGGCCAUUAGAUUUUUUUAAAAAAUUUAAAUUAGUAAAAAUAAAAUUACACUUUAAUCUCCUUAAAAUUAUAAAAAAAAUUAAUUUAAUUAUUUAAAAUUUAUAAAAAUAUAGACUAUAAAAAAUUAAAAUUUCAAUCACCCCUCAAAAAUUGUUCUAGCUUCGCCUUUAGGUGGGUUGAUUCAAGUCAGAUUUAUAUAUGGUAUUGACAAAAUUUUUGUUUGCCCAAAACCUUACUAGACUUGAAAUAUGAGUCUCGAAUUUUGGCCAAAUUUCAUUUUUAUAAAUAAUUAACUUAAACUCGUUUUAAGCUCACCUAUAUUUUUUUUAAAAUUAUGUUUUUAAUUAAAUAUUCAAUAACUUUAUAUGUUUAAUAUAUUAAUGUUUACCUAGUAUUACAUAUUAUUACAAAUUUAAUUUUCAAGUCAUAUAAAUUACCUAAUAUAUUAGAAUAAAAAAAAUAUGUUACAAUAUGAAAAAAGGAUUAGAGUAUGCAGGGUUUGAGAUUAAAUCUAUAUUUUAAUUCAAUUUAUUUUUCGUAUAUAACAUUUUUAUUUAAAUCUUUUCGAAUAACUAAACUUUAAAUAAUUAGAUUCUUGGACAACUUAAUGUAUAAUAAUUUAAUAGAAAACAAAAAACCAUACCAUAAAUAGUACCAUUAUUAACAUACUCUUUUUUUUAAUAUUACAAUAUUAUAUGAUAAUUUCCAAAAGAAAAAAGAAAUUAAAAUUGCGGUGUGGGAAGUGACGUAAGGAAAGCCACGCGGGGGAUCGUCGAAGGUACGUAAGGCACGCAAAGGCAUGGUCAUUGGGCACUACCGCACGCCACUUUUAACCAACAAACAAUUGACCACUAUGCAUUCACUAUUCAACGCUUGAAUUCUGACCUAUAAUAAUUAAGCUUCUAAAAGAAAUAAUACUUUUUUUGGCAAUUUCUUUAAAAAAAUCAUUUUAUAUUAUUAUUUACUGAAAUAGUCAAUUUUUUUAUUAUUUACCAAAAAUAAUCAUUUUCCCUGAGAGUGCGUCCACGUUAGCACAAAGUCAGGGGACGUGUCAGCAAAACACUCCCCAGGGAAACGUUUUGCCCUUAACGGUCACAUGACCGUUUCAUUUUUUCACACAAUAGUCCUCUCACAAUUCUCUCUAAAUUCUCUCAAAUUUCUCUCAAUUUUUGUCAAAGCUCUAUCUAAUUUUUGCAAAAAAAUUCUGUUUAAUUUUUUUUGAAUUAGUUUUAUUUUUAUAUUACAAAAAUAUUCGAUCCUGUUAGAAAUGGCCGGAGAAUUAGUUCGUCUCGAUACGAAACAUAUCUCCGUCGAUCAAAUGACAAUGGUAAGUAAUAAGUUUAAUUAAUUUUUGAAUAAUUUUUAAUUUUUUUUCAUUUAUGCAAUUUUAAUUAAUAUUUAUUUUAUAAUUUUUUAUAACAAUCUGUAGAUCGAGUGUUGCAGUGCUAAAUUCGUAAUACUUUUGGUCCUCCAUCGCCGUUGAUAGAGAAUUACCUACGGGAAGUGGGUUUUUGGCACGUGGCCACGAUAGGCCGGGGGUGCAAGUUGGACCCGAAACUAAUCAGAGCAUUGAUAGAGAAGUGGAGACCCGAGACGCACACUUUCCAUCUUCCAUGCGGAGAGUGUACUAUCACUCUGUAAGACGUUCAAUUGCAAUUGGUAUUGCCGGUCGAUGAGUACGCAGUCACUAGAUCCGCUCAAUCUGCUGAUUAGGGGGCCGUCUGCUACGAGCUUUUGGGUGUUAUUCUGGAUAAUAUUAAUGGAGGUCGGAUCGAGAUAGGCUAGUUACGAGACACAUUUUCAGAGUCGGAUAAUGAUUCGACUGAAUUAGAAAGAAUACGAUAUGCUCGGGCAUACAUUCUUAAGAUGAUUGUAGGUUAUCUGAUGCUAGACUUGUCAUGAAACCGCGUACAUCUGAUAUGGCUGCUGAAACUCAUUGAUUUUAGAGCAACAGGUGAAUUAAGUUGGGGGUCUGCCGUGUUAGCAACAUUGUACCGGGAGAUGUGCGAGGCGAUGUGACCGAAUAAAGCCAAAAUCGGAGAAUGCCUAUCACUACUGCAAUCAUGGGCAUGGCUUCACUUUCCAUUUUUACGUCUUCAAGUGAACCACCCAUAUACAUUUCCACUAAUAACGAGGUAAAUUUAUAUUAGAUUUUAUAAUUAUUAGAUAGAUUUAAAAUAUAAUUGUAUGCUAAAAAAAUAUUUAAUUAGGUGGAACCAUUCGGCGAGUUAUGUUGGAAUACCUACAUCUCUUGAAGAUAUACAACUUCUAUUAGACCGACGAUCGGAAACAUAAGUAAAUAUUAAAUAAAAUAUAUAUACAUAAUAAAAUAGUUGUUUCGUAUUUAGUAUUUAAUAUUUAGUAUUUAGUAUUACCUAUAUAACUAAUAUUUUUAUCAUGUUUAUAUAGUUUCAAUGGACACUAUACGAGGAUUUGGCAAAUUGGACAAUAAUUCCAGAUGAAUUUUUUUAAAAUCCAAACAUUUGGCAUGUGAAGGUCCCAUUGGUCAACUAUGCUAUCGUGGAGAUGCACCAGUCAAAUAGGGUAUUGCCACAAUUUGGAUUCCGACAACUGAUUUUUGUGGAACCUAAGGUGCUCGAUUAUAAGCACAAAGUCGACUUACGGCUAUUGAAUACAAAUUGGCCGAGACACUAGUCAAAAUAUAUCGAAAUGUGGGAAAAUCGGUAUGACUAUAUACCUACUCGGGAACCGAUCAUCAUUCCGGAUUUAGCAUGCGUGCCGGAAUACAUGCCAUGGCUUAGGAUCCAUGACAAGCCAUAUUUACUGUCGGAAGAGGAGACGUCACGACAAAUUCGUGUGCAAAGGGAACAACGGGGCCCUUUAAAUCCAUGAAGAAGGGAUGACGACGUGAGCCCAUCAACAGCGCCCACACAAUCACCAGGCCUAUUAACAGCUCCCACACAACCACUUGGCCCAACACUUCAACCGACGACACCCAUAUCACAGCCUUUUCAGAUUAUGCCAAGUGCGUAUCUUAGCCCUUAUAUGUAUUCUAAACCUUUUAUGUUUCCUUUUCCCAGUCUUAUGGCAGGUUGGAAUGCAUGACCCAGUUCAUCUCCAUUCCUAAUUACUUUGAGUCAACCGUCGAUCAAUAGGCCACCGUCGCAUAAGGGAUCGUAUGAGGUGCCGUCGGAGAGCUCUUUUUUUUUACCAUUCCCCAUCGCCUUAUGGAAUUCAAACACCUCCACCAUGAGUGAUGCAAAUACCUCUGCAUUCAUUAUUCUAUCAAUGUGGGUCAUCCUCCCAACAUUCACAACUAGAUCCCCUGCUGGAGGAACCACAAUCCCCACCAGAGCAACCACAACCUUCGCCGGAAGCUGAACUAAGGAGGAAUCCAGCGUGUAACCGUCGACAACCCCCAUGUGGUACUGAUUUCGACCGAUACCAACAUUGAUUUUUUUAAUAUAUUUGUAGAAACUUUUUUUAUAUAGUUUCAUAUAAUAAAAUAAAAGUUGUUUUUAAUAUUUUAAUUGUACUUUACUUUUUUUUAAUUUUAUUAAAAUAAAUGUUGUUUUAAAUUAGGCAAUAUUUUUAUUUUUUUAUAUUUGAUAAAAUAAAAGUUCUUUUUAAUAUUUUAAUUGUAUUUUACUUUUUUAAUUUUAUUAAAAUAAAUGUUCUUUUAAAUUAGCCAAUAUUUUUAUUAUUUUUAUAUUUAUUUUUAUAUAGUUUUAAUUAAUAAAAUAAAAGUUGUUUUUAAUAUUUUAAUUGUACUUUAUUUUUUAAAAUUUUAAUACAAUAAAUGUUCUUUUAAAUUAGUCAAUAAUUUUUAUUAAAAUAAAUGUUAUUUUGAAUAUGACAAUAUUUUAAAUAUUUUUUAUAUUUUUAAUAAAAUAUAAAUAAUGCAACAUAAUUUUAUUACAACAACUAUCAGCUAUAUUGAUUUGGACAUGAUUGAGUUAUAUUAGUCAAUAAUUUUUAUUAAAAUAAAUGUUAUUUUGAAUACGACAAUAUUUUAAAUAUUUUUUAUAUUUUUAAUAAAAUAAAAAUAAUGCAACAUAAUUUUAUUACAACAACUAUCAGCUAUAUUGAUUUGGUCAUGAUUGAGUUAUAUGGCCUAGGUUCCUAUACUAUCCGCACAACCUCUGUUGGUUUGUUGUUUCUCGGAUAUCCAUAUAGUUACGUAUUCUGGUCGAGUAAGGUUGACCUUUUGGUUUACGACGCAAUUCUCUAUCCGGUAACAGAAUAAACGGAGCAAGCGAUACAGACAGCCACUUACGUUCAUUUGGGAUCAGUAGGAAUACGUGUCUCCACACGUUGUACAUGUAUUCUAUUUUGUACACUUGGUCAACAUAUGUCAUGGGAUCCAGACGGAGAUUCUAACAAGCUGCAAUUACAUGAGCGCAUGGAUAACGUAGUGCGUCAAACACCCCACAGUCGCAUGUCCUAUUUCUCAAGUGUACACGAUAUUGCCCACCAAUAAUACAUUGGUUCGGUCUGUCAAACUCAAUCACACGAAACCAUAGGUUGUCGCAAUCGUGACACACUUUGUGCAUGUGUUGGUUCGUGCCUUCGCCUUGUUAAUCUCUCGCAAUACCUUCACGUACCAUACAUGGCCUCCCUGCAUUUGGCCUUUAUAACUCGCUGCUUGCUUUGGAAAUAGUGCCGCUAAACGAAAAUAUGUCUCUCGUACAACGGCUGUUAUCAGUAAAUGAUGCUUUCCUUUUAGAACAGAAUUUAUGCAUUCAACCAGGUUUAAGGUCAUAUGACCAUAUCGUAGGCCGCCGUCGUAUGCUUGUGUCCACUGUUUGAAAGGUAUGUUACAAAGGUAGUCUACACCUUCUUUGUUAACUGAACGCAAAAUCGCUAACAUCUCGUGAAAACAGUUCUUACUUAUCUUAUACUCUGCCAAUAUAAGUUGAUAAUGAAAAUUACAUACCACUCUUCCAUUCAGAAUAAACUAAAUAUUACAAACGAAAUUAUAUUAAUAGAGAUUAAAUACUCAUGUUGGUCACUUGCUGUCGUUCAGUUGUAGAUUGUGAAUUGAAUCGAGACAUGAGAUUUGAAGCAUGAACUUAAGGUUCAUAAAUUUGUUAAAAUAUCGAAAUAAGAGGUGAAAAUAGAAUGAAUUUGAAAUAAUGAAAUAGUGUAUGAGUUAAUUGAAUAUAAUCAUAUGAAUUAAUUAUAAUUAUUUUUAUUGAAAAAUGUUGGUUUAAAUAAUUAUUGAAAGACUAACGUUGUAAGGUUUUAGAUAUGAAAUAGAAUAAGUUAUUGAAUUGAGAUAUAGAAAUGAAAUAUAUGAAAUAAUGAUUUUAUGAAAUGGUUAUUGAUAAAAUGCAUGAAAUGAAUAUUGAUAGAGUAAGAAGAUAUAUAAAUUAAAAUGAAGCAAAGCUAUUUAAGAUACAUAUUACUAAGAAAAUUUAAAGUUUUAAAUGCAUGAAUGAUUUAUUGAAAGUAAAAUAGUGGUAAGAUUAAUUGUGCAUAUAUAUUGUUUUUACUUUAAGUAUUUGAAUUAUAGUAAUACCAUUGGGUGUAUACUCAGUGUACGGUUUGUUUCUAAAACAUAAAAAUUAAGUAAAAAGGGCUAAAUUGACUUACCUAUUUAAGCUUCAAGCAUCAAACCCCCAAUUUUCCCUUUUUUUUUUCCUUCUUUCCUUCCCUUAUUUCUUCCGUGCUCUCUGUUCUUUCUCCUUUCUUUUUCUUUUUGUUUCUUUUUUUCGUUUACUUUACUAUAUAUAUAUUAUAAUAAUAUAAUAUAAUAAUAAUUCUUAUAUUAUAAGUAACUAUAUAAUUGUAUUACACAUGUAUGUAUUUAGUUCAUUACACAUGUAUAUUUUAUUAUCGUACAUUUGUCAACUUGUAAUUUAUUUCAUAAUAAAUAUCAAUUUAAUAAAAAUAACAUUAAUAAAUAUUAAAUGUAAAAACCAUAAUAAAUAAUAAUAAUAAUUUAAUAUACAUAUUUAUGCAUAAAACUUAGGACAAAUGGCAUAAUUUCCAUUUUAGUCCUCUUUAUUUUCUUUUAAUCUACAAUUAAACUUUCACACUUUAUUCAAUUUGGUCUUUUUACUUAAUUACUCUUAAUUAAAUUAAAUUUACUUAAUUAAACUCUAAUUAACCACUUAUUUUACUUCGUAAAUAUUUUUAAUAAAUAUUUAUGAAUCCGUUUUUUAGAAACGGAGACCCGAAAAUACACUUUUCCGAUUACAGUAAAAUUUGGGUCGUUACAAUGUUCCUACUAGUAGUAAGGACUAAAUUAUAAAUUAUUUAAAUUUAUUAUUUAUCCGUUUUUAUGUUCUAAUAUAUUACUGAUUAGCCAAGAAUUACUUUGGCACCAAAUGUAAUAAUCCUAUAUUAGGUUCCUUGAGUCGAACAUGAUAUAGGGGUGUUACAGGCGACCAUGACCCACUUGGAUUGUGUAUUUACGAUAGUCCAACCAAACAAAUUACUAUGAGAUUACUACAAGAAAGAGUUGGUGAACUUUGUCAGGAUUAUUAUGGCUAAUUGUAUUUAGCUUCUUCUUCCUACAAAAAAAAAAUGUGUAAAAGUAAUAAUACAUACGCAUGUUAUAUGUCUUUUAAUUUUGUUGAUUUGAUUCCCACAUUCUUUCAUUUUUGAACAUAAUUCUCAUUUUCUUUAUUUGAUGGAAAUUCACGAUAUGAAUUCUAUGAUCAGUUUACAACAAUUAUCUCUCUAUAACUGGCAAAAUUUGGGUAGACAAACGUGGUUGUUAUUGAGAGGGUUGUUGUAUUUAUAUUCAUUCUUUGACUUUUUUUUUUGUCAUCUGGUAAUUUAUUUUGAAUCUCAAUUAAAUUCAAAAUUGAGUCGAGCCAAAUCUUUAAAAGGGAGAGUAGCUCUUUCAAUGCUAUUUUUUUUCCAAUUCUACUUAAAUAUUGUUGUUUAAAUAGGAUCAAGAUCGAUUAUUAUACAUGUUUGAACAGAGGGUUAGAACAAUUUUAGAGUGAACUAGGGUGGCAGGACGGGGCAAGCAGAGGCCUUGGCCCUCCCUUCCCCACCCCCACCCCCACCCCCCCAAAAAAAAAGAAUAAAAAAAUCACAUUUAUUAAUUAGCAAUGGUAAAAUUGCAUUUUGGCCUCCAGAAUGAUAUAUUUUAAUUUAAACCUUUAAAAUUAUAAAGAUAUUAGCUAAUACAAUGGUAAAAUCACAUUUUAACUCUUAUAAAAAUUAUAACAUAAUUACACCCCCUAAAACAAAUUCUAAUUCUGCCUCUAAAAAUGAACCACUGAAAAUCGAAGUUGAAUCACGAAUCAUGAACCAGGUGAACCAAUUUAUUUAUGUUUUUAGCCCAAAUUAAUGACUCAAAUCGAAAAAAAGAAACACCAACUCAUCCAACUCGAAUAAUUAAACCAACCAACAAAAUCCACCUAAAUACUUAAAAAGAUGAAAAAUAAAAACUAACUUAAGUCAGAGUAAAUAAUUUAUGUUUACAUCAUUAUUAAUAUUUAUUUAUACUUGUAAUUUUUUUAAAAAAAAUUUCUAAUUUUAUUUUACUUACUUUUUAAAAUUUAAAAUUUAUAAAUUCAUUCAACCAAUUGAAACUAAUUUCAAAACCAUUGACUUAGUAACAUCAAACUUUAAACAAUUGUAGUUUUUUUCUUUUAACAAUUUUAUUAUAAGUUUUAAUUAUAUUUAUUUUUUUUACACAAAAUUAUUUAUAGCUCCUCCUCAAUCAAUAAAUAAGAGGAUAGUGUAUUUUAACGCACUCGAAUCCGCAUCCUCUUACAUUAACAAUAAUUAUAAAAUUACAAAUAUAAUAUAAAAGUCUUACCUCCUAAAUCAAUUUUUGUUGUUUUAUGAAGUUAUCAACAAUUCGUCCAAAUUUCCUAUAAAAAAAGAAAAUCAAAUUCGACGAAAUUAAUUAACGUAACGUGAAUCACGCACUUUAUAUUAGUUAAUAGAAGAAAAAAAUAAUAACAAUUGUUGUGAAAAGGAACUACAAUUAAUUUUAUAAAAAAAUAUAUUAAUAUUUAACAUUAUUUAGUGUAGAAUUUGUUUAGUAUUAAUAUACCAUUAAAAUUUAACUAUACAUAUUUGUCUUUAAAACUUUUAAUAGAAUAACAACAAAUAAUUUAUUGUUAGUAAAUAAAUUUACACAUAAAUAUCAUAUGAAAUAAAAAUUAAAAAAAAUUAUAGAACUAAUGAGGCCUUGACACAGUUAAUAAAAAUGGAGCUAUGAGUCUUUGAGUAUUUGUCAUAUACAAUUGUCAUGUGCGAUUAGUCCCAUCAUAUGUUGUUAUUGUGUUUAAAUUUUAAUCCUGUAGGUUAGUUUUAAUUCUAAUUAUUCGGAUUUUUAGUCCAUUGAUAUUGAUGUUAAUUUAACCAAACAUACAUUUCUCUAAAAAAAAACGAAGGUGAAAAAAAGUAAUAGGUAUUUGUACUAUUAACAUAUUUGGAAUUUAAUUUUUAUAUAUUUUUAUUUUUAAGAAAUUAAAAGAAAACAAUUAAUAUAUAGAUUAAAAAUAGGAAAAAAAACAAACAAACAAAUAAGACAGAGUUCGGUCGGCAAAUAAUAUGAAGUAAUGGAAGGAAGAGUGAAGACAAUGGGGGCAUGCCCUAUCAUAAUCGUAAAAUUAAUUAAUUAAAUUAAAUUAAAUUAAAGCCGCUACACCUUUUUAUUUAAAUUUCCUUUUGACAAAUUGCAUUUUAUAACGUACAAGGAAGAAAAGCGUGAAAGUCACUUCCAUCUAUUUAAAUUUUAAAGGCCCUACACCUAUGUCACAAAUUCAAUACACACAAAUAAUAUAUUUGUAGUAAUUUAUUUUUUCUUUCAUAUUUCAAUUAUAUUUUUUUAUUCUCUAUUUAGUUAUAUACAUCAAGUAAGUUUGUUGAAAUUCUAUAAAAUAUAAAUCUUUUUACUAGAAUCUCGAUAAUGAUCAUCUCUUGAUGUUUAAAUAAACAAAACUUAUAAGUUUAAUCUAUCUUCAAAAAGAAGGUAAGUAACUUAAGAAUUAGCGGAACUCUUCCAAACUAUUUUCGCAACUCUUUAAACACUCUCAAACCCCAAUUACUGAUUCUUGACUCUCCGUGUGAACUAUUUCUAGUUUCCUAACACUAAACCUUGUAUCAACAACCGGCAUUGUUCGUGGGAAACAAAGCAAAAACCAUGUCUCUACCAUAUGAAAACAACCCCAACUUGUCAUACCAAAGCAUUCCAACCGACGUUCAACAAUAAUAGACUUCCUGCUAGGGGUGUAAAUGAGUCGAGCGGAAAUAGAUAGCGGCAAGCUGAAGCUCGAUUGGAAAUUCAAGGCUUGAUACUAGGCUCGAGCUUGAUGAACAUCAAUAUCUCAGCUUGAACUCAACUUGAGACAUAAUUGAGCUACUCAAGCUUAAGCUUCAUUAGACUCGUUUUUUCAAUUUUUGAACUCAAGCUCAACUAAGCUCAUUCAUACUUAAGCUUUUUUCUAUAUAAUAAGGAUAAUGAUAUAAUUUCAUAAUAUAAAAAUACAUUAAAAAGAAUAGCUUGAUUAGGCUUGUGAGUUGUUAGAAUUGAGUAUUAUCAUGUUCAAAUUCAACUUAAACGAUAGCUCGAGCAACUUGAGCUCGAUAAUUACUAAAUCAAAUUUGAAUUUUGUAAAUUAAACUCAAAUAUCAUAUGAGCAUUGAUGUCUCAUUUACACUACAACUCCCUCUUAUAUUUCUUUCAACUUUGCCUCAAAGGCUUCCACUACCUUCAUCAGGUGAGCAACCUUCCUUUGCAAUGUCAUAUAUAUAGAGAGAGAAACCUAAGCUACCUGAAAAAAAAAAAAAACCCACCCUUCGUUUGUUUUCAAAUAAGCGCAGUCAUCCUUUUGCUUGGUCAUAAUCUUAUUCUUUGAGCUAAACUAAUCGUAAUUGUUAUGUCAUGGUGAUGUCAUACUUAUAUUAAUUAAUGAAGUUACAUGCUCCUUGUUUAGGAAGCAGUCCCCGUGUAAAUAAUAAGACAACUAAAAAAAAAUCAACAAUAAUAAAUUAAACACCUAUUUUAACCCUUUAACAAUACUAAGGCUAAUCUCAAACCUCAUGUGAUGGCUUGAUAGCCAAAAGUGUUCACCACCUUAAGUGUAGUCUGGGUUUGAGUCACAAUAGUCAUGUUUAUUGUUCGGACUUUGCCCUGUUAUUGUAAUUCACCAAAUACUAAGGUAAAUCUCUAUGUAUUAUUUUUUCUUAUCAAUAUGCAUGGUAUAAUGAGUUUCAAUAUUCAAAAUUUUUUUGGUAUAAUCACAAGAGUACUCUUUUGUUUUACAGUCUAAUAGUGUUAUACUUCUCCACCACUCGGACACAUGUCAAUACUAGAAGUAUUGUUGACUUCAUUGUUGACUUCAUGAAAUUUUGUUCACAUGAAAUUUUGAUUAUGAUUCAAAUGGAUAUAUGAAAAUUUAAUAAGACAACUAAAAAAAUAAUAAUUCAACAAUAAUACAUUAAACACCUAAUUUAACCCAUUACCAAUACUAAGGCUAAUUUCGAACCCCAUGUGAUGGCUUGAUGGUCAAAGGUGUUCACCACCCAAGUUAUGGCCUGGAUUUGAGUCACACUAGUCAUAUUUAUUAUUUGGCUUUGCCUUAUUAUUGUGAUUCAUCAAAAAAAAUACUAAGGCUAAUCUCUAUGUAUUAUUUUUUGUUAUCCACAUACAUGGUAUAAUGAGUUUCAAUGUUCAAAUUUUUUUUUGGUAUAAUCAUAGGUGUACUCAUCUGUUUUAUGGUCUAAGAGUGUUAUACUUCUCCGCCACUCGAACACGUGUCAACAUUAGAAGUAUUUUUGACUUCCUUGUUGACUCCAUCUAAAACUAUGCAUUACCUGACCAUCUUUUCUCAACACUCUUUGGUGAGACCAUCCGUCCCUUCCUCAAAGGAGCUAGCCACCCACUUUUUAAGUAUGAACGCUCUUCAGGUGUGAACACUCUUUUAAGGCUAUAAGGGAUCCAGUUGAGUGUAACAAUCUUAUACUAAUUGAAUGAAUAAUGAAAUGGGCUCCACAAUACACGUCUUUCACGCAAGAAUAAUUUUAUUCAUGGCAAUUUGUCACAUCACACUAAUGGAAAAAGGGGCUUCUAUAAAUACCCUAAUCAACGAUGAAGAAGAGAUUAAUUUUCAGCACCCUAAAAUUACUCUGAGUAAUUGCCCUCUCAGUCUGUCAUUUUGUCCUUAUUCUGGCUCUUGGCCUUUUUAGGUGAACCAGCCUCCACGGCCCCGCCUUGACCCUCCUCCCUUGUUGUACACUGUAUCAACAAAGAGUAAUCAUAUUCGGGUUAGGAUGGUAUUAAGGUAAAGUCCUUCCAAUAAUGACAAGAUUGGAACUUGGUUGAAAUACCUAAAGAAAUCUACUACUAUUUUUUUCUAGUCACUUAUUGAUAAGAUUGAACCUAAUUAAUCCAUCAAUGAAAGCUUGCACAAAUUCUUAAAUUGGUAUCUAUCUCCUUAGCUUUGGAUCUUAUGAUUGAAUCACUUAAAAACUUUUAAGUCUUGAGUGCAUCUACUCCAUUUCCAUAACCUUAGUUGGGUUCUUGAAUAUCUUGCUUGCCUUCCAUACUAUUAUUAGAUAAUCAAACUAAAAAUAUUGUAACAAUAUCUAGCACUUCAUUAAUAUGAAAAUAUUUUUCAAAUAUUACAACCCAAUUAAUUAGUUUUCGAAAAAUAUAUAUUAAACAAAUGAAGUAAUUGUGGAUAGCAGCUUCUAGCCAAACUUUGUCUCUGUAUAAUCAAACUGACGAAAGCAUAUAUAAUAUUAAAAGGAUAAAGGCAUACAAUAUUAAUCACAUGAAUUAUAUAAACUCUUCAUCAAAUACCAAAAAAUUGCUUCUUCUCAUUUGGACCAUUUUGCUAAACCUUUCAUUUUAUUUUUUAUUUCCAAAGUCAGAAUUGUUAAAUUAUAUUGUAAGAUGCCUUAAUUUAUUCAAUGUGAUAUAUAUAUAUAUAUAUAAUGUAUUAAACAAAAUUCCAAACAGAUAUUGAUAAUUUUAAUAGUUUAUUAUCUUUAAUUUGUUAAAGUUGUAUGACUUAAAUUCUUGUUAAAGGAAAAAACAGUGGUAAAAUAGGAGGAUCUGUGGCAAAACAGGCUGUACAAUGAAAUCCAUAUAGAAAUAGACUUAUUCUAUUUGAUACUGAUUGGAAUAAGGUGUUUCUACCUUAUUACACUGUUUCUAUUUGACAUUGAUUAGAAUAAGAUUUUUUUCAACCUAUAAAUAGAUUUAGUCUAAACUCUUCUUUUACCAUUCGAAUUCGACAUUAGUGAUUUUUUUCUCCUCUACCAGUGAUUUUUUUUCCAAAAAAGUUUCCACGUAAAAUAUGAGUGUUAUUAUUAUUAUUUUUCUUUCUUUUUGCUUUGAGAUCGUUCUAUAGUGUCCUUGUCGACGUUCAACUUUUACAAACUCCAUACUAAUGAGGGAAAAAUAACAAAAAAAAAAAAGUGAAGUAAACAAACACAUUUUUAUAAAAUUUUCUAAUAUUAAUGUUUUAGUAAUCCAACAUCAUAUUUCAUAUUUUAUUCAUACUGAUCGUACAUGUCAAGUUUGGAGUAAAUUAUUAUUUUUAGAUAUUUAUUUUUUGUAAAAAAUUUCAACUAUCGUAUAUACAUAUAUAUAUUUUUAAAAUUUGGAAAUAUCAUUAACUUUUUCAGCCUUUUUUAAAGGAGAGUUUUUUAUUUUAGCCUUGAAAGCUUACGGAAAGGAUUGUAUGAAACUGUGAUUCCACAUCAUCCCUAUUCCUUCCCAAUAGGAGAAUGACAAAUCGGAAAAAGUUAAAAAUUAGGAGGAAAAAUCUGAUUUAUCAUUCUCCUAUUAGAAAGGGAUAAGAAUGACGUGAAAUCACAAUUUCAUACAAUUCAUUCUCUGAAGGCUUAAGUGGUUAUAUCUUGGCCUUGAAAAGUUAAAGAUUGUAAUUUUUAUUAAAAUGACCCUAAAUUUUUAAUAAAUUUUAAAAAGAACAACCUUACCAUCCUAAUGACUUUUAAAUAAAAACUUCAAAAUAAUUCAGUAAAUUAAAUGAAAACUUUUGAAUAAUUCAAUGAUUAUUUUAUAAUUUUUUAAAAUUAAAUGACCAAAAUAUAAACUUACAAAUAUUCAGAUAUUGGAUAUAGUUUUUGUUUUUAAUACAAAAAGGAGGCUCAGCAAUAGCAACAAAAGGACUAACAAUACUUGCUCCUUCCUUGGUUCCUAAAGCCUUUAUGCCUUGAUGGAUUCAUUUGUUCCCAUGGCUUGUAGCACCGUGCACUGCCCAAUACUCCUUCCAUAUCCCAGGAGCCAAUUAUUACAGGGGCAAAUGCAAGGGGCAGGUACACAUCUUGCCCCAAAUUAGUAAAAUUGCAUUUAAGAUCCCUUAAAAUUUUAUAUAAAAUUAUAAAUUAAUGUAACAUUAAAAUUAUCGAUUAUAUUUUGUUUAAUGCCAAAAUAUAUGCUCAUUUCCCUUGUUUGAAUAUAAAGCCAUUUGUAAUUAUAAUUUUCUAUUCCUAAUUAUAAAUUGCAAAUGAGAAUUUUAUUCAUCUUUACAUUUGUUUUUCAACAUUAAGCAUAAACUAGUGGAAUCCAUGUGAAUCUCAUAAAAAUUUUCCCAUUUAACACAUGUUUUAGAAAAUUGAAAUUUAGAUCCACUUUUUGAAUAAAAAAAAAUACAUUUUUCAUCGAUCCAAAUAGUUGAAUGUAUCCCAUAAAAAAGGGGUUGAAUCUAAAUUUGUGAAAACAAAACCCAUUCAUAUUAAUUAUUUUAUUUCAUAGUUAUAUUCUGCUAUUAAUUUUUGUACUUCACAAAAUUCUUAUAUUUUUCAAAUGUUCAAAUUUCAGUUGUCACCAAACGAUAACUGUUAAAUUCAUCAAGUUAAGUUUAGUUAUUUCUAAAACCUAAUGUGCCAAACAUAUGAUCAUAUGUGUAAUAUCAUGUAAGCUUGUUAUUUCCACACAUUACUCACUAAAAAUUCAGUUAAUGGGUUAACGAUUACCAUUCAAGUCAAGAUUGAAAUUUCAAAAUUCGAAAAAAUACAAGGACUUAGAAUGAUUAAAUUGUAGAAUAUGGACCAAAUUUUACAAUUGUAUGCAUCUCACGAGAUUGAUAAUUGAAUUCAACCAAAAUGUACAAGGACUAAAAUUGACAAUUUAAAAGUACAAUGACUAAAAUUAAUCAAAUUAAAAGUAUAGAAACUAGAUGACACAACUUUCAUAAAGUAUAGGGACUAAUAGCAUAAUUUAACCUAACUCUUAAUAAGUAAAUGAAUUAUGUAGUUGAUAAAGAAAAUUUGUCAAAUGAGUAAAUUAAUAUGGAUUAAUAUCACCAUGAAUAUAAAUAAGAAACAUUAAAAAAUCAAAUUAAUAAACCUUAUCCACUUUGCGUCCUCUGCCAUUAGACUUCAUCUACAGGCUAAAUUAAUGCUAUUAAUAUGUGGUAGAGGACAGCAAUUGGUUGAAUCAAUUGAUUUAGUCGGUUUUUUCGAAUUAAUUUAAUCGAUUUUAAUAUGAAAAAAUUGAUCAUAGAUUAUUGAGUUGAGUUUAUAUGAUUAUGUAAGAAAAUAUAAUAUUUAAUGUAGUAUUAAUAUGUCAAUAACAAUAAUAAUGCAAUACAAUGCAAUAACAGUAACAUAACAGAUCAUACUUAUAAUUAAGCAGAGUUGAAAAUUAGAAGAAGAAUUUUGUUGAGGCCUGUAUGAACAGUUUCCUUAAGACAGAUUCAACAUCUCCUCAGUGCUUUGAGUAACGUUGGACGUCUAUCUUCCAGGAUACAUCAACAAAUGAUAACAGUCAGUAGUAGCACAACAAUAUUUAUCAAUCAAACACACCAGGAGGAAUGAAUUUAGAAGGAAUUUUUUAUAUUGAUGGUUUUUGAUUAUGUGUUUUGAAAGUCUCCUAACUUGGCUUUAUAUAGAGGAGAGGAAAUAAAUGAAGAGAUUUAGACCGAUUCAUGAAGAGUUUUGUUGAAAAGUUAAUAGAUAUAAGUGAACAGACACAAUAAAUGAUGAGAUGUAAUAUUAAACCAAAAGCAAUAAAUCUGUUCAUGAUCAAAAGAUACAAUUGUUCAAAAGAUACAACUGUUCAUCAAGAGGUAAAACUAUUUUUUAAUUUAAGUAUCAAUUUAUCAUUCUUCGCUCAACAAUUUUAAGCAUAUUAUAUAGAAUAUAAAUUCAUAAUUUAUUAUUCAAGCCUUUAAUUUUAUCAAUAAAAUAAUAUACUUCAAAACUCCAACAUAUCCAUUAUUUUCUAACAAUUUAUAUUUUUAUUAUAUAUUACAUAUUUUAAAUAAUUUUAAAAUAAUAUAAAACAAGUCAAAUUUUUAAAUUAAAUUUAAAUAUUAUUAAACUCAAAUUUGAAUCAAUGAAUAAUUUAAAUUCAUCUCAAUAAUUACUAAAUCGGAUUUGAAUAAUUUUCAAACAUUUAUUCUGAUUUUCGCCCACAGAUGUACGUGUAAACCAUUGGGAAUUACCGAAACCACCCCUAGGCAAAAUAGAACUUGUCUUGUCGUGUAAUAGACUUGUAGACAUUAGGUGGUUUAAGAACUUUAUAUCAACCCAUCCAUAUCCUUCACGUGCCCCACAUUUCCUUCCAAUUUGCCCACUUGCAUUUUAUAAGUUUCAUCCACUUCCCAAAAGACAAACAUACAAUUCAUACAACCCAAACUUUUUAAUUUAUUAAUUUAUUUUAAUUCAAAUUUUAGUUUGUGUCAAUUUAGGAAUUGAGUUAGAUAAAUUAGUUCAUAUGUAUUAGAUUAAAUUAUAAAUUUAUAUUUUUAUUAAAUUUUUCAUCUAUUUUUAAAUAAUUAGGAUAAAAUGUAAUUAAACUCUUAGCAUAAUGGCUCAUAAUUACGUAAUUGAUAUUUGUUACUAUUUUAAUGUUAUGUUUUAGUUAAAAUGUCAAACAUCAUAAAAAGAUUCUGAGCUUAUUCGAGUUCAUUUUAAAAAAGAAAAUUGAGGGGAGGAUCAAAUUAUAUUAAAUUAAAAUUUAGAAAUCAAAUCUCCGUAUUAAAUAUAGUAUAAGGAUGAAAAUCUGAAAUUUAACAUUUAUUUUUGGUAAAAAUAUCUCUCUAGCCUCUCUUAAUUUUGAUAUUUAGUAAAUUGGUUUUUCUUAAAAACAUUAGAACAACAAUGAAAAUCAGAAGUUGACAUUUAUUUUUGGAAAAAAAUCUCUCCAAUCCCUCUCAAUUUUGAUAUUGAGGAAAAUGGUCCCUCUAAAAAAAAUAGAGUAAUUUAAUCCCAUCAAUUUCGAAAUGGAGCAACUAAAGAUAAUUAAUUACAAUGUUAAUAUUUUUCAUCAAUUGUACAUAAUUUUUAUUGGUAUAAUAACAAAUUUAACUCUCAAAAUUUGUCAAUUUAAUAUUACUUUAACAAAUUUAACCCACAACAUUUACACAAAAUAUAUAAACAUCAAUUGCUAAGUUCAUUAUAAUACCAAUCAAGAUUAUAUAUAAUUAACAAAACAUACGUAAAUAUCAUGAUUAAUUGUCUUUAAUUACUCACUUUUAAAACUAAAUUACUUUAAAUUUUUUAGAGGGACCAAUUUGCUCAAUAUCAAAAAUUAAAAAAAAAUUACAAAAGUGUUUUUACUUUUAUUUUACUCUUACGUAAUUUUAAUUUUCUUUUCUCAUCUAUAAAUACCCUCUAUCUCUUUUUAACUUGUGUCCAUUAACAAUCUCUUUGUCCUCCAUUUUUUUUCUCUUUGAUUUUUCAUUGCUUUACACUAUUUGAUCAAUCAGAAGCUCAACCCUAAAAGUUUCAUUAGAAUGAACAGUGUUAACCUUUCUCAUCAAUAUCCUCGAACAUCAAGCUUUACUUAACUCUUGCUUGACAGAACACUGGGGUGAUUUGCCCUUAAAAGUCGAUGACUCUGAGGACAUGAUCAUCUACAAUUCCCUUCAUGAAGCUCUUAACUUCGGUUGGUCACCGACGACGACGGGUUCAACGGCGGCAACUACAAUUAAACCUGAGCCGAAAGAUGAAUCAGCAGAGAUCAUGGAAAACGCGAAGCCAAUGGAGUUGACUCAAAAAGUGGUGAAAGGGAGACAUUACCGUGGAGUUAGGCAAAGGCCGUGGGGGAAAUUUGCGGCGGAGAUUAGGGACUCAGCUAGGAAUGGAGCAAGAGUGUGGUUAGGUACGUACGAGACAGCUGAGGAAGCUGCUUUGGCUUAUGAUCGAGCAGCUUAUAAGAUGCGUGGUUCAAGGGCUUUGCUUAAUUUCCCGCAUCGGAUCGGUGACAAUGAGCCUGAACCUGUUAGAGUUAAGGCUAAACGUGGGGCAACAAAUGACUCGGUUUCGUCCAAUGGUUCAUUUCCUAAGAGAACGAGAAGCUUGGAAGCUAACAAGGCUGAGUUGACCACUGUGUUUCAACUGGGUCUAUUGCAGGUUGGGGAACAGUUAUUGGUGAAUUAAAAAUUAUCAGAACUUUAAAAAUGAUGUUGAUGAGAGAGACGGAUGCGAACCUCGUAAAAGAUAAUCUCCAUGAACUAUAAUCUUAAAAAAUAUUUUGUUGGUUUAUUGUAAAGCAAAUUGAAGUUCUGUGAAUAGAAAAAUGCAAUAGUUUUUUUCCUUUGAUUUUGCAAUGAGAAUAUAAACAUAAAGCUCUGAAAAGUAGGAUUUGUUCCUUUUCUAAUACUAUUUGAUAUAAUUUUAAUUAUUAUUAAGUAUUAUUUUCACAAUUUACGCGUAUAUCUUAUACAAUUAAACGGUAAUUAUUAAUUUAUUGAAAAAUAAUGAACGAAAAAAUAAUGAACUGAAUUUGAAUUUAGAUGUACUAGAACUUGAACAUAAGCUAACAUUAACCUGUCAUAAGUAGAGAGGGUAUCACCAAAAGACCUAGCAGAGUCCAGUCUCCUUAAAAUGAAAAAAUAGCAUUAUCACCUAAAAAUGAUAUAAAUUUAAUUUAAUUUUUUGUAUUACAAUAAUAAAAUUAUAUUUUAACUCUUAUAAAAAUAUAUAACUUAAUUUCAAUUUCCAAAAAUAAUUUCUAACUUCGUUUUUAGUCAUUAAAAUAAAAACAUAUUAGUUUAAAGCUUGUAAUCAAACACAAUUGUUAACUUUGUAAUAAAAAAGGGAGAGGGCAUUGCCAUAACUUCUUCUUUUUUUCACUUAUUGGCAAAGAUGAUUUUAUUUCUUUAAUUUUGAUUAUGAUUCAAAUGAAUAUAUGAAAAUUUAAUUUUACUCGAUUGUGUACAUUUAAAGAAAUAAAUAUAUUAAUUUAUUUAUAUUUUGAAUAAAUAUAAUUAUUAUCGUAUGCAAUAUAUAAAACUUAAAAUAGUAUUAUAUCGAUAGUUUUGUUAGUAGUUUAUGAAAAUUAUAUUAAAUCAAAAUUUUAUGCUUAAAAUUAUAUAAAAUAAAAAAUUAUGCUUAAUUUUGAGAUUUAUCCCUCUAUAUAAUGAUAGUGAAAUUUUUAAAAAAUUUGAAAUUUUACUUAUAAAAUGCAAUUAUCUUUGUACUAAUAAAUAUAAUAUUUUUCGUGAAAUAUAAAAAUUUAAGAAAUUGAGGUUACCCAAUAUUUCUUCAUUGCUGUUGAAAAUGUGGAGAUAUCGAAAACAGUAUGACUUUUCAAAUAAAGAAAUUGCAGUGAGUUGGGAAAUUAGGCAUCCGUAAGGAAUUAUUUGUCAAUUUCCAAAUAUCAAUUACUUGUCAACUUAUUGACAUAUUUUAAAAUUAUUUAAGAAAAUUCUUUUUGAGAUAUUUUAUUAGGGGUGAAAUCAAAUUAUUUUUAAGGUGGUAGAAUUAAAUUAUAAAAUUUUUAAAAAUUUAAAAUAUAAUUUUAUUAUUUUUGAAGGGAUUAAAUAAAAUUUUUCAUAUUUUGAGGGGUAAAAUGCAAUCUUAUCGUAAAUUUACUUAUAAUUUUAUUAUUUUAAAGGGAGAAGACAUGCCAACUCCCAUAAUGCCACUUUUAACUUCUAAUAUUCAAUAGAUAUAUUACAUUCUGGUUAAAUUUAAAAUUCACUUAAUUAAAAUUAUUUUUUAUUCAUAAAAUUUGAAAUUAAUUUUUUUUAAGAAGAUCGAGCUCCAUACAAAUCGACUUUUUAAAUAUGAAUAAAAUUUGUUUAAUUUUAAGUUUAGGGUCUGUUUGAUUGAAGGAAUUGAUUUUCCGGAAAAUCAUUUCCAACUUUUCCAGCGUUUGAUUGGCGGAAAACAUUUUCCAUUUGGAAAAUGAACUCCAAAACAAGGGAAAAUGGGUUACAUUUUAGGGAAAAUGUCUUACCCUUUCAAUUUCCGUAAGACAUUUUCCGUACUCUCCUCUCUAUCGCCUCCUUCAUUCAUUCCUUCAUUUCCGGUAGAAAAUUGCUUCCGUUUAUCGAUUUUACAGUAACUUGUUUUUUUAAUUAUUCAAUACUUGUUUUUUUAACACAAUUAGAAAUAAUUUAUUUGAUAUUAAUUUUUUUCAAUUUAUAACGAUUAAUAUUGUAGCUUAAUAAUUGAGUAUUAUUAUAAAUAAAUCAUUGCAAUAUAUGUAAAAAUAAUUUAAAAUAUAAAAAUUUAUUAAUAUAUAUCAAUAUAUGUAAAAACAAUUUUUUCGAAAAAUAUUUCCAGGAAAUCUGCCAAACAGCCGAAAAUAUUUUACACAGAUUCAAUCAAACACCAGAAAAUAUUUUCCAGUAAAUCAUUUUAUAGAAAAGUAAGAUAUUUUCCCGAAAUAAUUUUACGGAAAAUAUUUUACUGACAAUCAAACAGACCCUUAAAUUAUUAAAAUGAAAAAGAAAAACAUUAUUGAGGGUCGUUAGUCGCUAUGAUUAAUUAGUUGAAUUUCCAAGUAGAUGUUCUUUUCAUAUAAAAGCCCAAAAUAUUUUGAUAUAUUUGGGCUAAAUAAUAAUUAUGAAUGAAUGAUUAUUCUUCAUUAUUAUUUUUGGAAUCUUUCCUCUAAUUAUUUCUAUUUUUCUGGUAGAUGAGACAAAUGAUUAGGUUAAUUAGUUGUUAACAAAUGUUUUCAUGUUGGUUAUCUUACUUGGUAUUCAAUUUUAAUAAAUUUUCAUAUUUAGAGAAAAUUUUUUGAUAAGUACAACAAUGCAUAAGCCUAACUGAACCUAAUCAUAGAGAUUUUUAUUUGCAAUGGCUUUUUUAAGGAGUUUAUGCUCGAUCAACUAUAAUUAGGAUAAUGUAAUAUAAAGCAUAAUAGGCUGGAAAUUGAAAUGUAUCUGAACUUAAAUCAAAAUAAAACUUGAUAGGGUCCACAUGGUAAGAUUUAAACUUAAAAUAAUUGGAGAAAAACGCACAUAUAGCAAUAUGAGACUCUAGACCUCAACCUUGCAAUACUUCUUAUCUAACAAUUUUAUAGUGUUCUCGUUAUUUUGUUAAAAAGUAAACAAGAUUAUAAAGUAAAGAGAAAUAUAGAAUAAACAAGAGAGGAGAAUAGAAGAUGAAAUGAUUAUUCAACUUUCACAUUGACCUCUAAUAAGUUUGUACAUACCCUCUAUUUUUAGGGCUUUAAAAAUCAUAAGUUACAAAGCAUUUAGGACCAAUGUUAAUGAUUUAGGGAUUAUGAAAAUUCAUUCUUUAGGAUUUAUAAUAAAGGAUUAUGGAUAUCUAUUUAUCAAUGGAUUUACAACAAAUAACAAUAUUGUUGUGAAUUGAAUGAAAUUACUUGGUUAUAGGUUUAAUAAAAUGGAGUUGAAAAUUGGGUUAUGCUUGGAUUAUAAGCCCAAUUCAUACUUGACCCAACACUACACAAGCUUAUGACCCAUGCUUGGUGUGGUCCAUAAUUGUAACAACUUAAUUUUAUUUUAUGUUGAUGAAAAUCCAAAAAUAUUACAAAGAAAUUCAGUUUUACUUUAUUUUUGAAGUGAGGAAUCGAUUGUGAGUUCUACAACCUAUGGAUGAAUCAGCCCUACCGUGUCGAACCCCGCUGUGGUGGCAGUCGCGCAGCAAUGUCUUAAGACAUUGACAAUAAUAUGAAUCAACACGAUUAAAUUACAAUAUGUGACGUAAUAGUAGUUUAUUUUAUUUUUCAAUUAUGUAGUUGGGGUUUAAUUUUUAUCUAUAAGAAUAAAAUAUAUUCGUAAAUAUUAUUUAUCUUUAUAUUAAAUUUUAUUAUUAAUUUUUAUAUUUUAUUAAAAUUAAAAUUUAAAAAUUUUAAAAAUAUAUAUUUAGAAUAAUUUAAUUAAAGAAUAUAAAUUAAAUCUAUAAAUUUAACUACUAUUAUUUAGAUUAGAUUUGGACUAAAAUUUAAAAAACAAAGACAAAAUAGAAUAAUAAUAGUAAUAAUAAUAAUAAAAUUUAACCUUACCUGUUCGAAUAGCUUCCACGAGAACCCUUUAAUUCUUACAAUACAAGCAUUGGACGUCGUCUUGUUCAAAGAACCUAAAAAAAUCAAACCCGACAAAAAUCAACGUGUCCUUAAACCAAGCCAUUUUUUACAUGCAACCCCUGCAUGAAAGCAUCCUCACCACGUGCCUUUCUUUCUUCUUACACGUGCCCCCUCUUUCCCUUCUAUAUAACCCACCUCUCUCCUCUCUCUCUCUCCAAUAUCAUACAUACCUACAUACUUAAUUUCCAUUUACUAGCAAUUUCUUCAAGUUCUUUUCUUUGUUUUUUUAAUCAAUGGCUGACCACUACCUCCAAAACACUCAACCAAUGACUCACCAAAUGGUGAAAGCCGCUACUGCCGCAACAGCCGGUGGUUCCCUCCUCAUUCUCUCCGGUUUAAUCCUAGCUGGCACCGUUAUUGCACUCACCAUAGCCACUCCACUCUUCGUUAUUUUCAGUCCAGUUCUUGUCCCUGCUCUCAUUGCAACAGCUCUCCUAGCAACGGGUUUCGUUGCCUCCGGCGGUUUCGGUGUUGCAGCUGUCACGGUCCUGUCCUGGAUUUACAGGUCCUUUAUCUUUUCUUCUUUUUUAAUGAUCUCCAAAAAUACCAUGAAAUUUCCUGUACUGUUUUUACUAUUUUUAUUUAAAAAAUAGUAAAUUAGUCUUCAUAUAUUUUCAAAGAUUAAAGAGAGUAAAUUUUAUCAAAGAUCAAAAAGAAAUAUAUUUUCAUUAAAAAUUUCAUAAAUUAGUAUGAGAUACACUUUAAUCCAUUACAUGUUAAAGUAAUGUCAAUUUUUUUAGCAGUCCGUCGGGUCAGUCAAAUUUUAAUGUAAUUUUCUUUAAAAUGAACAAAAAUAAUUAAUUUAUUCCUUUAACACGAAAUGAUAAAUGUACUUUUUUUACAUGAUUAAUUUUUUUAAUAUUUUUAUUAGAAAGUAAAAUUCAACCUAAUCAUAUUAAAUUUUUAAGAAAAUUAAUUUAUAUUUUUUAUUUAAAUUUUUAUUAGAAAAGUAAAAUUCAAUCCAACUGUUAGGGCUUUCGUGGCCCUCUUAGUAGCUUUUUCUUAUUGUUAAAUGACUAUAUAUACAGGUAUGUGACGGGGAGGCACCCACCGGCGGCGGAUCAGUUGGAUAGUGCAGGGAUGAAAUUGGCUAGCAAGGCACGGGAGAUGAAAGAUAGGGCGGCACAACUCACCGGUGCGGCGGCUUCUUAAAUUAGUUCUCUACUGCAUGCUUUUGUAAAGGAGCUGUGCAAAAGUUCAG